AAAGUUUUUUUUUUUUUUUUUUUUUUUUUUUUUGUAUGGCGGAUUGAAUUUUCUUUAAUGAACAAUUAAUAUUAUUUAGUAGAUUAAUCGAGAAUGAGCCAUUAUUUUAUAGUUUAUAUAUAUCAGUUAUGUUUGUUUUUGGCACUAUCGAGGUAAGUAGAAAAUGUAAAAAAGUUCAAAUGAAAAUGUCGCAGCCGCUGCCUUGGACCAAGAUUUGAUUGGGUCAAAGUCAUGCAGGAUAUUUAUAUAGAACCAAUGCUUUCCCCAAAGCAUCAACCUCAAUGAUUUUUAAGCCUUUUGGGUUUUAGAAGAAGCACUCAAACGAUUCUAACAAUGGCUUCGCCGUUACAAAGUACACGAUACCUCUUAAUUCUUCUCUCCUUUGUCUUCUUCUUACUACAAUCUCAAACUGCAGAAUCAAGAACUCUGAACUAUAAAUGGGAAGUGAAAUCUGAAUUGAAGUCCCCCGAUUGCUUUAAAAAAGUUACCUUGACCAUUAAUGGCCGAUCUCCAGGUCCCACUAUCUACGCCCACCAAGGUGACACCGUCAUCGUUGAGCUCAAGAACAGCCUCUUUACCGAAAACGUGGCUAUCCACUGGCAUGGAAUUCGACAGGUACCCCUAAAUUUUCAUUUCUCUCCAUAUUUUUCUUCGUUAGUUUUAUAGUUCUUCUUUCUGACGUGCUCGUACAUUUGAAGAUCGGAACACCAUGGAGCGAUGGAACAGAAGGUGUCACUCAAUGCCCUAUUUUGCCUGGUGAAACCUUCAGAUAUCAGUUUGUUGUAGACAGAGUAAGAGAUACUUGACUUACUCGUUUUGUUUUGUGUCUCUCAAAAACUCCAUGCUUUAAUUUGAGUUUGACCUUUGUGAAAUUUGAAAUCUGCAGCCAGGAACUUAUCUAUACCAUGCCCAUUAUGGUAUGCAGAGAGAAGAUGGUCUCUAUGGAUCCAUUGUGGUUUGGGUUCCAGAAGGACAAACAGAGCCUUUUUCCUAUGAUCUUGAUCGUAACCUCAUCCUCACAGAUUGGUAUCAUAAAAGCAGCCACGAACACGCCACUGGAUUGGCUACCCCUGGCUCUGGAUUCAACUGGGUGGGAGAGCCUGAUUCACUGUUGAUUCAAGGAAGAGGGAGAUUCAACUGCUCUAUUCUGGGAUCUUCCAGUGGUACCUGCAAUUCAUCGAGCACAGAAUGUGUUCUUCAUCCAUUAACAGUCGUACCGGGAAAAACUUACCGAUUAAGGGUCUCCAGUCUCACUUCUCUUUCAGCUCUCAGUUUCCAAAUUGAGGUAAUUACAAGUUCAUCUACUUGAUUUCAUGUACUCUCCUUGAAAUUCUUCUUAAAUGGCUUAAACUGAUAAACUCUCUGUUUUGGAAACAGGGUCACACCAUGACUGUGGUUGAAGCUGAUGGGCAUUACGUUGAGCCAUUUCAAGUAAACAAUUUGUUCAUUUACUCAGGAGAAACAUAUUCCGUUUUGAUAAAAGCCGAUCAAGACCCUUCUAGAAACUACUGGAUCACAACCAAUGUGGUGAGCCGAUCAAGAACCACCCCCCCUGGAUUAGCCAUUUUCAAUUACUACCCAAAUCACCAGAGUAGACUCCCUCCGACAACUCCUCCAGCACCACCUGCUUGGAACGAUGUUACUCCCCGAUUGGCUCAAAGUCAAGCCAUCAAAGCCCGGCAAGGUUUUAUCCACACGCCGCCCAAAGCCGCCGAUAAAGUGAUCGUGCUUCUCAACACCCAAAACACCGUGAAUGGCCGUCGCCGGUGGUCGUUAAAUAACGUUUCCUUCAAUAUGCCUCAUACCCCAUAUCUUAUUGCUCUAAAGCACAAUCUUCUCCAUACAUUCAGCCAGGAAAAACCACCCACUGGAUACGAUUUCAAGAACUACGACAUUUUUAAUCCGGCGCCCAACCCUGAAGCGACGGUAAGCGACGCCAUAUACCGGUUGGACUUCAAUUCAACUGUGGACAUCAUACUACAGAACGCCAAUAUGAUGAGCCCAAACAACAGCGAAACACAUCCUUGGCAUUUGCACGGACACGAUUUCUGGGUUUUGGGGUACGGAGAAGGGAAAUUCGAUCUUUAUAAGGAUCCAAGCAAGUACAAUUUGGAGAACCCGAUCAUGAAGAACACGGUGCCGUUGCAUCCAUAUGGAUGGACCGCUUUGAGAUUUGUGGCGGAUAAUCCUGGUGUCUGGGCUUUCCACUGUCACAUCGACGCGCAUUUCUUUAUGGGAAUGGGUGUAGUUUUUGAAGAAGGGAUCGAGAGGGUUGGAAAAUUGCCUACUUCCAUUAUGGGAUGCGGGGAGAGCAAGAGGUUCUUGAGACCUUAACUCAUUUCCAUUCCGAUUACUAUUCUUUAGAAAAACACAAAGAAUAUUCUUUUAUGUUUAGCCAAAUUUUUUGUGCUGAUUGAGAGUCACUAUGAGUGUAUAGGUAAAUGUUAUUGCUACUUAAUAAGAAGAAAUCGUAAUAGUUUCUUAAAUGAUUUAAAUAACAAUACCAUUGUUAUGUUGUUUAUUUGGACUACUAUUGGGAUGUUGUGUGUGUGUGACUUUUGUUGAUAUCAACUGCUCCUUUUAUAUAAAAUUUCAGUUAUUCAUUCAAUUAUGACAAUAAAGUUUAUCAUUUUAGAGGUUUAGAUAUCACAUCUCAUUCCACUAAAGAAAAAGUUUUACAAUUCACCUUUGAUUUGUGAACAAUGAUUUAUCAAUUUAGUUCAUUAUUUUGUUCUUUUUACUAAAUAUAUUAUUAAAUGUUAAUAGAACUUUUGACCUGUAGUUAUAGUUAACAAGUGCAUUGAAAACCAAAUUUUUGUUUUUAUAAACUAUAAAGACUACACAUUCAUACGUUUAAGAUUUCACUUAAUUUUGAAAAGAAAUUUUUAUGUAUUUAAUGCCAUAAUUAAAAUUUGAGCCUAAAAAGCGUUAAGGCUUAAACUUCACAUACUAAAUUAUGAGUUCAAUGUUGGAAGCCUUUUUUAAAAUAAAAAAGUUGACCAAAAGAAUAUGACUAAUUUAAAAGAAGUAGAAGAAAACAAUUGGAUGUUUAAUUUAUAUGUAUUUUCAUAUUGAAGUGCAAUUUGCAAAACGUAACUUAAACAGGUUUUUUGCUUCUAAAAGAUGGAAAGUAGUAGGUUUUAAGGAGGGUGACAAUCACAGCCCACAGGAAUGACCAAAUGUUUAAUAUUUAUAAACUAGAGAUGAAAGGCAACAGUAGUGACCAAAUGUUUUAUUUAUUGUUUAUUUCAACUUUAUCCUUUACAGUAAGGGACACUCUUUUCCUAUUUUUUUAUCCUCAAGUUUUUGUAGUAUUAGAUCACUAAUAUUCAUCCCUUUUCAGUAUAUCAUUUGGUCCAAAGUGUAGUAACUCUACCAAUUAAUUGAUAUAUCUAAAUAUCAACCUUUAAUAUUCCACUCUCACAAUUCUCUCUUUUAUUUUUCUUAAUUAUGAUUUUUCUCUUCUUCUAAUUUUAUUUCCACUUCAAUUUCUUUCAUUUUCGCCACAAAUUUGUUAUUUUAUUUUUUCAUUUUCUUUUUAUCUUCUCACAUUUACAUAUUUUCGAUUAUGGAUAUUUCAAUAAUGUUAGUCUUGCUAAACAAUCUUUAAGUAUGUUAGUCGUAUAUCCAUAGUGUAUUAUCAAUUUAAUCCUAAACCAUUAUUUGUUUUUUUUUCCUUCUUAUAUUUUUAACUUAGUCUAACAUCUAACAUGACCAUCUAUAAAUUCAAUUUUGAGGUUGAUUUAAAUAAAGAAAACCCUUUUCUUUCUUCUUCCUCCUCUCUUUUUUCUUCUUGUUGAUUGUGGUUGCAAGCAUACGACGAAGAAUAGGGCAAAGCUUCUAGUAUCGGGUAUGAGAUGAAGCUUUCAACGUUAUUUUUUUAUUGGUCAUUCAUCCAGUUGACAACAUAAGUUUUAGAUGAGAUAAAGAUUGAGAGAGUUCUAGAUAUAAAACCAAUGAAUAAAUGUACAUAUGUAUAAUCGUUUAUUUUAUAUAAACGAUAAUGGUUAUUGUCGUUAACAUUUGCGUAUAUUUUUAAAUAAACAAUAAAAUAUUUUAUAGUCAACUUAAGAAAUGAAAAAUAUAUAUUUAUUUAAAUAUUUUUAAAUAAACAAUCAAACAUUUUAGAGUCAACAUAAAAAAUGAAAUGGAAAAUAAAAUCAUGUUAAAUGUCAUCUUAUCUCUUCAAAUGAAAAUAGAAAAAAAAUUAUAUUAAAUGCCUUUUCACUCAAAAUAAGAAAAUAUUAUACUAAAUACAUUUACUCUCUUUUUAAUAAACCCUUAUAAAUGUAAUUUGUGUCUCAUCACUAAAUAAACAUUGAAAAUAGGAAAACAUAUAUUAAUAAAGUUAUUGUGAAACUAUAAAAUCCUUCCUCGAAGAUUUUGAAACUUAAAAUGAGAUUUUUGGAUUUUUAGGUAAAAUAUCUGAUUAAUUAAUUUAUAUUAUAGAGAAUAAGUAUGAGUCUGUUGGCCCAAAAGCCCAAAAGCCCAAAAGCCCAAAAGCCCAAAAUCUCAAAGGCAAUCUUCUCAAUAGGUGGAGGCUCUUAUCCAAAUCCAAUGGCCCAUAUUUUGCACUUGUGGGGCCCUACAGUUCGCCAUAUCUAUCCUAAGUGCGCAUUCAUUCAAACCACUGCCUCAAACAAACAUCACACUGUUACAACUUACCAUUGCCACCUUCACUUUAUUCAAGCUUCACAUACACCUCAAUCUGAUCAUACUAAAAUGGCACUUUCCCCAUUAACCUUCACAACCCCAAGACCUCAAGCUUCCCAAAUUUUCUCCCCCAAGUUAUCUUCCACUGUUAAACCCACAUCUACUUCUUCUUCUUCUUCUUCUUCUUCUUCUUCAGUUUCUGCUACUAAGAAGGCAAUAUCUAACAUGGGCAUUGGCCUUCUUGCUGCUUCGGUUUUGGCUCUUUCGCCCUUGGAUGCAAACGCUACCAGAAUUGAAUACUAUGCCACUGUUGGAGAACCCCUUUGCGAGUUCAACUAUGUGCCUUCCGGGCUUGGCUAUUGCGACAUCGCCGUCGGAUCCGGUGAGGAAGUUCCUUAUGGUGAGCUUAUCAAUGUCAGUUCCGAUCUUCAAUCAUCCACUUCUUGUUUCUCAUUUUACUUUUCUUCGCAUCAUCAAAUUCUACCCUGCUUUUAUAUGACUGCUUGUUUCCGUCCAACUUCUCCUGCAUUGCUUCGUUGCAGUGGAAUGUGCAAUUCCCGCCAAUAGUAUAUCAAUCUAAUAUGUGUCUCUCGUUUUUUGCUGAGUUUGCAUGUGGGUUAUUUUUCUUAAUAUGUAUAUGUUGUGUCACGUGUUGCAAUGAACUGCAAUUCACUACGUUUAAUUUCCCCAUUCCACGCAUAAGGGAUUUUAUGAUAUGUUUUUGCGUUAUUUUACCGUUCAAAUGCAGGUUCACUACACUGCAAGGUUUGCUGAUGGGAUAGUGUUUGACAGUAGCUACAAGCGUGGUAGAUAUCUCACCAUGCGUAUUGGUGUUGGCAAGGUAUUGAUCAAGUGUUUUGUACAGCUUCUUAAGGUGCAUAUGGGCUUGAAAAGUUUGGCCAAUUUGUUUAAGUGCGAGCGGCUACAGGCUUUGAGAGUAAUGAUACUGUUUAAGAGAAAAGUGAUGAAAAUAUAUGUAUUUUAGGUCAUUGGUAACUUAGUCCAUUUCUGCACUUUCCAGAUCAUGUCGUUUCUUUAGGAAAACGUAGUUGAGCAGAAUUCAAUUGUACUUAUAACUAUGAGAAAAAAAAAAAGCAAAUUUAAUUAGAGUAAAACGGUCAGCAGAAUAGCUUUUCUAGGAUUGAGGAACAUCUCUCUUUGUCCCAUCUUAAUAAAAUACGCACCUUGCUGCAUCAACUUGGUUGACAAUCACCUCCCUAUAUGCAACUAUCUUCUAAGAGACCUUGUGUGGAGUUAGUUCUCCUACAAAUCCCAAUUGUUUGUUGACGAGGAUGUAGAAAGAAAGUGGUGGGUUUCUUUAACGAUUUGACAAGGAAAGAGCUGGAUGAGAGUGGAGGCAAGUCUGUUACCAACAUGGGAGGAUCAGGGUACUGAGAAUUUUCCUUCUCAUGCCUAGAUUAGGAGCAAGAUACUAUUUGUAAAACAAACUUUUAAUUUACUUGCAACCAAUCAAUAGCCAUUAUAUGGAUAAAUAAUUCAUUACCUUAGCCACUAACUAUAACUACAUUCAUUUCACCUUGUGGUGAGUGUGGGACCGUGGGUAACUGGGUGGGUGUAGUUACUUACCACAUUGACUCAUCGGAAAGGGACUAAAGUUGAUAAGAUUGUUGCCAGGUAAUAAGAGGAUUGGAUCAGGGAAUAUUAGGGGGUGAAGGAGUACCACCAAUGCUAGUAGGUAUGUCUACUGACGCAAUGAGUAGAAUUUUGUGGUUUUCUUUUUUUGCUGGUUUGCUUCUAAGAAAUUAUUGCCCCUCUGAUUUUGCCUAGGUGGCAAACGUAAGCUUCAGAUUCCUCCACAUUUAGCGUAUGGACCAGAACCAGCAGGCUGUUUUUCAGGUUGAAUUCUUUGAACUGAACUGCUUUGUUUUGCGUGUUGGCUAUCUAAAUUUUCGUGACAAUGUUGCAAGCUGUCUGUAGUUGCUUCUGUUGGCAAGUUAACGGUAGUUUAUUUUGUGCAAAUGCAUUAUAUGUUAGUGUGUAGUUGCUUUGCUCCAGAUAUCUCUUUUUGAUACUGGUGAAACCCAAGUACCAAUUAACUAAUGGACUCUGUUAAUGCCAUUUGUGUUGCCUUUACAGGUGAUUGCAAUAUACCUGGAAAUGCAACUCUUGUGUAUGAUAUAAAUUUCGUUGGAGUCUACUCAGGAAAUAGGAAGUGAUGGAAACAAUACCCAAUUUCCUACAAAAUUCUUGUAGAUAGACAACACAGAGUAAGUGAUUUUCUGACUUUUCUAAAUGUUCAAUCAUAUCAACCUAUCCUUUGUUUGGUUUCUCUUUUAAGUUGUGUUCACAGCUCAGCUAUCUUAACACACCCAUUUGUUUUUUGGUCCAUCUCAUACAGUAGAAUCACAACAAUUAUCUCAGUAGUGUCUCAGAUUCCAUUUCAUGCUUCCUGCUUCAUCUAUUGUUCAUCAUACACUUUUUCCCUCUUGGUUUCCCAGAACUUAAGUUGAAGCUAAACCACGAGCCAAAAGAAGUGCAUUUCUCUCUGGAUUUUCCAAGUAUGUGGAACUCAAGCUUGACUCUUAAGGCAGAAUACUUGGUUUUCUCCAACUAACCACCAGCAGGACUGGCAAUCCUUUUUAGGUGAAAAUCCAGCUAGGCAUGGUUGAAAUUGCUCAAUUCAAACGUAAUUGACCAAAACUAUGUAUUUGGUUGUUUUACAAGAUUAUGACUGUAUUUCUAUGCACGGAUACUAUUAUACUUUGUAAAAGCACGUCUUGUUUCUGAGUACUUCAGUAACUUUAUGCAAAUGGAAUCUAAUGACCGCAUUUUCUUUGAACACAUUCUUUUUUAAUAUGAUCGAAUUGUCAAUGAACACAAAAUUAUUAAACAUAGAUCACCCUAAUUUUUUCUCACCGCGAUUUUUCUUUAUGCUACCUUUGGAUAUGAGAAAAAGGUUAACGGAAAAAAAAUGUUCCGAAAGCCAAAAGCAAAGAAAGCAGGAUUCUUUCCUCACGUUUGGUGAAGAGAGAGAACCGGAAAGGAAGCCUUGGCUUGGCCUUUUUCUUCGUUUGCUGGGACCAAAUGCCGUUUGAAAUAAUUUGAAUUUUGUGUUCAAAUUUUUAGGCUCUUUUCCAAACCGAAAGUAAGUGCAAAUGUAUAGCCAUACUGCUCCUUCACAAUUCAUUAACUUAAUAAUUUCCAGUCCUUUAAAAUAAAGCGACUUUGGUUUUCUUCUUUUUUCCUUUCCUCUAACAGUUAAUAACCAGGUUGGAAUCUUGUUUUCUUUAGGUGAAAGAACAGCUGUGGGGAAGCCAAAGUCGUCUCACAAACAGAAAAUUACAACAUCAUGAAAUAAAGUAAUCUCUUACAUCAGCUAGUAACAACUAACAACCCCAAAUAUUCUAAUUACUCAUCCAUCUAGUUGACCAUUUCUUCUUCACAAAUGAUUGAACACACAGUAAUAUAUAUCAUUACCAUAAUUAUUGAGGUGUUUGACAAAAAUUUAGCAGAAGAGAGAUAUAUAGAGAGAGGUACAAAACAGGAGACUUGUUUUAGCUGCAAAGAAUUACAUGACAGAGCAAGCAUUUGGGUUGUCAUCACUGAACAUGUUGAUGUAAGGAUCUUCAUAUUUGGUAACAGAAGCAGUAGUGGCAGUUUGCUCCACAUUUCUUACAUACCCCGGUGGUGCCUUCUUAUCAUAAGCCUGAGCAAUGUAAGGCUGUGACACUAAGCUGUAGGGAACAUAUGGCCAUAUCUCAGCCUUUUUCCCUGUAGACUUCGCCUUCUUCAGUAUCUUGCUUGCUUCAACAUACCCCGUAACUGUCACUUUCUGCUGCUUCCUGUUUAUCUCCACAGAUUUUACCCCUUCCAAAGUUCAAAAGCAACUGCAUUUUGUUAGAUAGAGAGAAAAGGAAGAAGUAAAAACACAAAAGGGUUGAGUUUCUUUAGACAUAACAUACCACUGAGUGAAGAGAGGGCAUUCUUGACCUUAAGUUCACAGCCAUCACAGUCCAUUCUGACUUUCAACUCCACGGUUUGAAGCUGUUUCUUCUUCUUGUGUUUAUGGGUGUUACCCACCAAAUCUGACAAGUACUCCAAAGUCCCACCAACACCCAUUUUUCACUCUUUAAUCGAUGUAGUUGAAAAGGGAAAGGGACAACAGAAGCUCACAGAAGCAAAAACCAGAGUUGUAGAAAGAAAUGGAAACGUAAGUUUGGGUAGAAUGAUGGAUCUUUCUCUUUAGUCUUUACCUUCUCUUCAAGCAAACAAGCAAAGAAAAGGGCAUUAGAAACAAAGGCUGCUUUCUCUGGUUUUGAGAUGGUUAUAUGAAAGGAAACAGAGCUCGUUAUAUAGCCAUCUGGGUUACAUUUUAAAACUAAAGGAAAAAGGGUUGUGUUUUGGUUGUGGCCCCCCAAUCACCAAAAAUAAUUUGGCUUAGGAAGCUUGGUUCUUUUUUGUUGCUGUGGACGUUGCAUUUUUACUUUAAAAUGGCAAUUCUUUUAAGAUUAUGAAUAUAUUAAAACAAAUCUAUAUGCUUUUCUUAAUGAAGAGGUACUUUUGGCUCUAUCCUUUGGAAGAUUGAUCGCCUUUAUUCCAGUAAUAAAAUUAAGUUUAAUUUACAAAUACCAAAACAAAAAUAUAGAAAACAAAUUUGCAAUUUAACCUAAAACUAAAACCAAUUGGGCUGUCAUUUAUGGAGUGAAGCUGAAUUCAACAAGUUUUAAAAACCAACGCUAUACCAAAAAUGUCACCGCCAUCUUUACCUUAAUGCAUGAGGAGUCUUCUUAAUUUAGUGGUUUGCAUAAUUUUAAUUUAAUCUCAAUUUUUUCACGUAACUUUUUAAAACUAUUUCAUCUUAAACUCCAUUAUAAGAAGCUUGAAGGUGCAUGGUGGUCGGUAGGUGAUUAGAUCAAUUUCAAUUUUAACCUUAGUUUUUAAUUAAAUGGGUUUGGCUGGCUUAAACAACAAGUAGUAACAACAGACAGAUAUGUUGUUAGGAAGAGAAGUAUGUUAUGUUAUAAUAGUUGAAAAGAAAAAGUAGUGGUCAUGUCGUUUUCUGAACAACAUAACACUAAACAUAUAUAUAAAAAAAUAAAGACUUGGGAUUAUUUUAGUUUUCAUAAACAAUAAUUUUAGUGUUUGUUUGAAAAGUGUUGUGUUGGGGACUUGGGGGUGGAGAGAACCCGAAGGAAGGAAAGUGGGCAGCAGCCUCCUUCCUUGUAUGCAAUUGCAAAACUUAAGUCUUUUUCAAUUGUAUUCUUCUAAAAGUUUUAUAAUAAUCUUUCCCUUUUCAUUUCUGUUUUUAUUGUGUAUAUUUAUUGGUUUUUCACAUGGACAGGUUAAUUGGCUUUGAUUAAAUCUUUAAUACUACUACUAAUCACUGAUUGGAGCCACAAAUGUUGAUUACUUGAGUGAUUUAGAUGAUCAAGAUUUUUCAAAAAUUAAGUCAAAUUAAUUUUGACUUAAUUUGUGAAUCCAGAAAUGUGGUUUGGGAUGUGUGUAAAAAGAUCAUGAUGCUGAUUCUUUAUUCUAAUAGAGGAAGGAAGUAAAAUGGGUGUGGCUAAUCUUACCAUUUCUUCCUCUAUUCCUUUUCCUCCACUUUCUAUUUUGUCUUCAAACUUCUCCCCUAAUAAGCACACAUUUAAUAAAGUCACUCUAUCACACUAUGUACUUUUUUUGGCCACGAAUAUUUUUCAUUUCAUCAUGCAACCUCUUUUUUUAUAUAUAGUAAUUAUAGCUACAUUAAUAACUUUGACGGGACCCCCAACUUAUAAUUAAUUAAUUAGCUUUCUAUCAAAUUAAAAAUAAAAACGGUAUUAGAUUAUAUCUAUCCAUGAAAAAAGAUAAGAAAAUUGUCAUGAUCUUUAAAACAUAAACCGACACUAGAGAUCUAACUUUACAUCUCAUAAAAUCUAAUAAAACUAAAAAUGAUGGUAAUUAUAAUUUGGUGUUUAAUUAACUUAGAAUAAUAAUUUGUCCAAAAAGGUAGACAUGAGAUGGGAUAGGACAAAGGCCUGUGCAAAGGAAAAACUGUUCCAACUCUUACACAAAACUGGGACCUUCAAUGUGAAGAUAAGAAUAUUAUUUCUCAUUAAACUAACCACCAUUCUUAUUCUUCAAAAUAUUUAGUAACCAAAGACAGAGAUUUAAAUUAUUGGUUACAAGUUAUUAUUAAUGCAUAUGUUUAAUAAAGAAAAAAAGAAAGAGGAAAAAGGGGAUUCACAAACAAUCCAUCUUCUUGUAGCUUUUUUAUUUUGGAGGUUUGGUUUUGUUAGACAAAGAGCAUUGUCUUUUUUAUUUAUUCUUUUCAAUGGAACAACAACUUUUUAGAAUUGGGAAAAUAAAGGUGACUUUCUUCUUCACCACCACCACCACCUCUACCUCCCAAACACAAUUAUUGCUAUACAUUUUAGCUCUCAUUCCUAUUCCUAUCUAUACUAUGAUUAAUUAUUCAACCUUCUCACUUUCCUUUUUCUUUUGUAAUAUUUGAAUUUACACAAAUUUGACGAUCUCACAAUCUCAUUCGAUAGUUUUUUCAUUUUUCGUUCUGGUGUACUUUUUUCACUUAAAACGCGUAAAAGAUAAUGAAAAUGGAGGGUUAAAUUUGUAAAAGAAAUUAAAUAUAAAGGAAAAACCCUUUAGUGUAUGAGGUAAGUAUCACAUUGUACUAGUCUUUUCUAAUGAUUUCUUUUUAAGAUGACGACAUAAUUUAAAUGUAUCUAUUCUUAUGAAGCUUAAAUUAGUAACAAAAUCAUUCCAUGGCCUUGUUUUUUUUCUUUGGAAUUGUUCAUUUGUACUUUAGAAUAAUUAUAGAACCGAAUUUAUGUAGUCUAAAUUGAUUUGUGAGAUUAUAUUAUAAAAAUUUAUAUAGUUUAAAGGUCUAAAUUGAUUUGUGAGAUUAUAUUAUAAAAAUUUAUAUAGUUUAAAGGAGAUUUUAUAAUUAUGAUUUUACAACAUAACAUGGCAUAGCUAGAAUUAUAUUAACUUUUAGCAAUGGCUUAAACACAAUAACCAAAGUUGGCUUUGGACAUUAUUUCAUGAAAAAAGAAAGUUUUGUUUCUAAUGUUUGUUUUGACCUCAUGAAUAAGAACAGCACACGACUCCUUUUUAUAACGUUUUGGUUAUAACUUUUUUGUACUUUAAGGGAUUGGGCUUUUUUUCUGCCCUUGAUUUCUUGAUUUAUGUUUUUACUUUUUCAAAAAAAGAUUAGAAUUUAUAUUUGAUGCAGAAAGUCAAAAUUUAAAAAGAAAUUGAAAGCUAUUGUUUUGCUAGAUUGUCUUUUUCUUAAAAAAAAAGAAAAGAAAAGAAGAAGAUUAAGUGAAUUAAUAAACAAAUAUAUUUGAUAUUGAAAAAGAAGAUAGCUGUAUAACACAUGCAAUCAAUUAUUGUAUGGUGAACAGUUUGGGUAUUCAUCUAAAAUGCUUAAUUGUUCUUACUUGAUUUAAAUUAAUAUAUAAAGAAAUUGUAAAAAAAAUAAUUAAGUUAGAAGAUAACAAAAAGGGGAUUAGUAAUAUGGAUGUAGAAAUGAAUUAAAAAGUGGUGUGUUGGGGAAAUGAAUAGAGAAGGAAUUGUUGUGUGAAUGAAAUAAUUAGAAGUACUUUGGUGUACGCGGUGUCAGGUAAUGAAGUUCACUCAUUGAUAUAUAUAAUAAUAAGAUGAGUCCUCUUCCCUACAAUUUCAAACAAUAAUUGAAAUUUGGAAACGAUGUGGCCUUCACGCACACGAAGGAACCAUAAUCUAUAUAUAUAUAUUAAAAUGAAAUAUUGGUUAGUUCUAAAAUUAGUUUGUAUUAUUGGGUUCCUCAACUUUAAAAAUUUAUAAUAAGUCUUUAACAUUGAAAAUCUAAAAUAUCUAUUUGAUUUUUUAGGCAUUGUUAUCUACCUUUAUUAAAAAAAUUAGGCCCCUAUGAUAACUAUACUCAAACUUUAUUACUUUCUUAUCUACAUUUUAUCUAUGGAUUAAAAAUCAAACCAAAAUUUGAAAAUUAAAAAGAAAAAAUAACUGACAAAAAAAAUGUUUUCUGUUCUUCAAAUUUGACUAAGAAUUUUAAUCUUUGUAUUUGAGAAAGAAUGCAAAUUAUUGUAAGAUAGGAAAAGGAAAUAGGUAUAAUUAUAUAUAUAUAAAGCAAAGCCGAAAGAAGAAAUGGUUACGAAGUGAAAUUAAAAUAAAUAACAAAUAAUAAGGUUAGGAGAAAUAAAGAGUAAAGAUUAAGAAGGUAGUAAACUAACGGUAAUAUAUAUCAGAAGAGGAAAACAUAUAGAUAGAAGAAUGUAUAGCUACAUAACCAAAAAUGCAACGACUAUCAUCGACCCCCAUUGGAUGGCUCAUAUAAUGCCCCAAAAAAAAAAAAAAACUAAGAAAAAAGAAAGAAAAGAAGGAAAAUGCCAUUGAUGGAACUUGCAAGGACACAAGAUCUACAUGUCGUCCUUGCUGGGGGGAAGAUAGAUGUAAAGAGACUACCUCCAUUUACAUGUAAAACUUACUUAGAUAAAGCUCAGAAUCUACAUCACACGCAAGAAGAAACAAGGCAGAGUGCUAGAAGAAGCAGGUGCGGCAAUCUGAUUGAAUAAAAUCUGGAUGGGAUGAAGCAUGGGGUAGCAGCUGAUGGUUUAGAAGGGGCCCUUCCAGCUACGGCAGGAGCCACCGCGUGCCCCCCUGAAGCGCUCUGCUGUUCAUCGGCUGGUAAUGGGUUUGGCGGUGUCUCUUUUGCAGGAGUAAGAGGCAUUUUCUUUUCGUUACUGAGAUCUUGACCUUCGACAUGAACAUGGUAGAAAUAUGAAUGGAAGUUCAUGAAACGAGUUUAUAAAACAAUGGAAAAGCCAUACUUUCAUUUAACAAACGAAAAUAAUAUACAAUGAACAAUACAAAAAACCAACCCAUAUGAAACGAAGCAAGAAAAAAAAUGAUGGUUAAGACAGUUCAAACAUUUUCUUUCGGUUUUAUCAUGCACAAGAUGUGGGCAUCAGUUAAGAAGCUGCAAAAUCAUGACAAGUAACUACUAGGAGAUGGAAAUCUUACAAUUUGCGUGUGACCAACCCAACUUCAAAUUAUCCCUAUCAAAUACCAUCCGGUAUCCAGUCAUGUAAUUUUCUGCACAAGACAGCAAUACAAAAUUACCAUUUUCAUUAGACGUACGAUUUACUGCACAUAUCGCAUAUAUCAUAUUAGCAAUCUAAAUUUGAGGAGACAUUGUGAGCUUACGUCCCAAUAUUCCGAUAUCUCCAUCAGCAGGUAGUAUAGCAAAACAAAAUCCAGCUAACCCCUGUAUGCAUAGUACUGUUUAGUAUUAACACAGGCAUUAUUUUCUUGUAUUAGAAGUGAUGCAUAGCAUGUGACUUCUUCAGGAUACUUAAAACAAUUAUAUCAUCUAUUGGAUAGUUAGAACUAGAGACUAACUGCUAGGCUGUAUCAAAGAAGAGGGCCCUACCUCAGCUUGAUAGUUUAAGCACACCUUAUUUUUUUUCUUUUAUUGUUUUAGUUCUUAUUCUUCGUUUCCUUGUAGUCUCUAGUUUCUGGAGUAUCUAAAGCUAUCAACUUCACUACUAUGUUUCACAGUUCGAUUUUUAAGUACUUUUAUGCCCACUAAAAGUCAAAGCUAUUCCAUUAAUGGCUAAUUAUGACAAAUUUCAAAGAUCAAGUCCACAUCUUCACCCAUAUUCACCAAAUCAAAUCAUGCACACUUAAACAUUCUUAGAAGGAAACUUCCAUCUACCUGAUCGCCAUAGAUAGGGAAUACAGGAUCAUGAACCACAAAACUAUUGUUUAGUGGAAACAACAAUGUCACAGAUGGAACCUUUGGCAUUGCGUCUGCACUGUUGGAAAAAACGAUAACAUUAAAGUUAGACAUGCACAAGGGUGGGGUUUAUGAAGGGAAAAGGAUUUUACUGGUUAUCCAUCUCAUCGAUAUCACCUGAUCUUAUAGCAAUACUUCCAUGGAUAUCCUUUAAAGGAGACGGCGCUUGUAGUGUUUAACCUUUUAUCAAACUAUGAAAAGGGGAACUGGUUAAAGGACAAACGAACGAUAAAUUAAGUACAAAGCUGAACUACAAAAUGAAUGUACCUCAAUCACAAUAUUUUCAUAAGCUUCCUCUGGAAGAUAUGUAAACGAUGUCCCACUAUCUAUCAAUGCUUUAAAACUUGUCUGCUUGAGGCACGAAUUCUCAAUACAACAUGCUUCCACCCCAACAAUGUAGGUUUCACUGAAAGAUUCAGGUAUCACAAGGACUUCAGUCGGCAUAUAUAACAAAACAUGAUCAUCAUAAACAUGGAGAUAAUUCAUUAUGGUAAUUACUAUUUCCCGUCUAAUGGCACAAAUGAAGUUGUUUGCUGACUUGCAGGUCCCUCGUCCCCAAAAAAGAUUCUUCCAGAUCCAUCCUCAUUAAAACACAGCGAGAAGGAAUUCUGCACCAAUUCUUCUUUCGCAAGGGAACUAAGAACAGAAAUUUCUCCUAACCCUAAUCCAAAAAGACCAUCUGGAGCGACUCCACUUAGAUAACCGCCGCUUUGUUUCAUACCACACCUGUAUUAGAGAGCAAAAAUGGGUAAUAUAAAUACAGUAUCCUUCCUUAUUGCUGCAGUUUACACACAGCAAACAAUUGGAGGAACAAAAUGUAGGAACAAUGGAUCAUACCCUAAAAUGACAGGAGCCUGAAUCGUACAAUUAGAUGAAUUCUCACAACCGGAUGAAAGAUGCAACACAUCCUGAAUUAGUAGUCCUGAACUUGAAGUAUUUUCAGUAAUGUAGUCAAUAACAUAAGGACAUGACUGCUUCGGACUUUGGCAGCUUUGGCCUGAGUCGCACAAAUUAUGGCUGCAAGAUAUAUGCUUGCUCGUGCUUGAACUGGAUGGACGGUAUUCAUUGAGAUCUUUAUCCUGCAUUAUAAAUAAUGCCCCAAACAUGAGGGAGCAGGAGCACCUGCCAAUCAAUCAUCGGAAAUAAGUGCUAAACUUGCUGUCUUAUUAAAAAGACUUCAUAAUCCACUAAUACAUUCGCGCCAAAAAUGAGUUAGCCAAUCUUUCAUCUCCGUCUCCCCUCGGGCAUUUUUUAUUUCCCAUUGGAACUGGCCAUGCCUUUCUUUUCCGCCAAAAAUCACUACAAGACUUCGAAUUCCAGAACACAAUUUGUCCAAGCAUAACCCUUGAUCUAACGGAAAUAAAAAGGCAAUAUGCUUGGGUAUAAAGCAUAAGUCGUGGAUUAGAAGUAAUUAAUGUUUAUGUGGAAAGAACAGAUUCUGAAAAGCAGGCCUACCAGACUGCCAUAGUAACUUGCAGACAAGGGAGCACAUUGUAUGCAAUUACAAGGAACCCAAAGUAGAUCACUCCCAGCAUCCAAUGCAACCAGAAAAGAAACACUCGGUGUCCCGAUAUCAAUCCAGGUGUAAUGCAACCUAUAAUACGUAAACAACAAGAUGAUUUACAAGUGCAUAAGAUAACAUUUUAUAACACAAAAUUUUCUCAUAAAGGUGCCACUAUGCAAAAAGCUAUUAGAAGAUGGUUUUUUUUCCUUUUUUGGUGUGUGGGGGAGAGAGAUUACUAAAAAAAAAAAAAAAAAAAAAAACAAACAAACAAACAGAAAAGUAAUGCAAAACGGAAGAACAAAAAAUAGCAAGAACAAAAAGGAGAAGGAAGGAAGAGUAACGGUGACCAGCCAAAAUCAUUUCCGAGCGCAAUGGUUUUACUGCCUUCAGACGGGAAAAGCAACUGAAACCGAGAACCAAGCUUCAUCUUCUGCCUCCGAAAGUCACCACUAACAAGCUCCUGAUAAUACUCCAUACUCCCCUUCUCAGGCCAUGAUACUCGUACACUCGUAUUCGUACUCCCUGAAGCCCUAAGGGCCUUCAUCUCCUCAGAGAACCUGUGAAGUAUCCUUGAUGUGAACGUAAUAGACACCACCUGGUGAACAAAAAUCACCAUCAGCAGCAACAAAAGCAGAUUCCGAAGCGACAUUGCAACUCAGUCCUUGAAAGGACGAAGGAAGUAGCUCGAAGACGAGAUCUGGAGGUUCAGAAGAAACCCACGAACAAUUCGGAGCUUUAGUUACCCGCCGGUGAACCAAAAUGAAAAACAGAAACAGAAAGAAUCUGAGGGGUAUGAAGAAACCCAAGUUACGGGACAGAGAUCGGAGAAGAAGGCGAACGAGUUACGACGGAAGUAGGAAAGAAGAAAUGAAGUGAAGUGUAAAGAAGAAGCGAAGUGAAGUGAAGUGAAGUGAAGUGUAAAGAAGAAGCAGAGGGAGGGAGGGGGAGAGAGAGAGAGAGAGAGAGAGAGAUAGAAGAGGGCAAAAGAAGAAAAGGAAGGGGAGGAGGAGGACAGAAGGGAUUUGUAAUACACGGGGAAAAUAGCGCGUGUUAUAAAAUAAUUCCUUUUCAGUGUGUGCGCGCCCGUAAGAGAGGUUGUCGUUUUCUUAAUCACCGUUGGAUACAUUUCUUCUGCCUCUUUACUUUUCUUAUUUUUUCGUUUUCGUAUUUUAUUUUUCAAAAUAUAUCGAUGCUUUUGUAAAUUUUUUAUUUAAAUAAAGAUUAAAUGUGAGCUACUACUUUUAGUUUCGGAUAUUUGGACUUUUCAAAUGAAAUAAAUUAAAAUUCAAAAUAAAGGAUAAAUAAACGAAAUAAAUUAUUUGGAGAUUUUAUAAAAAAAAUAAGUUCAGAUUUAUUUGAUUUCUGUGUUCGAAUUAACCCUUUCCAAUAUAAUAAAAAUUACAAACAUAACAUAAUUUAGAUUUAAUUUUUAAAAUUUAUUAAUACAUUAUUAGAAAGUUAAUAGAUAAUAACAACAUAAUCUAGUGAUUAAAGUAUUUGUUAUUUUUAAGAGUAAAAAAAAAAAAAAAGUUGAAUUUUCUACAUUUACAUUUAUUGGUAAGAAAAGUUUCCUAAAGCAAACAUUCAGAUAGAAAAUGUAUGCCUCAAUUAUUGACAAAAUCAAGAAAAUAAAAAAGGUAUCCCAAUAAAUCCCUUUCAUGAUUAUUGGUGGUCUUGCAUAAGAAAUGUAGUUGGGGAUAAAGUUCUAUUGAAGAUAGGACUCUUAGGUAGAGAGACCAAGACUUACUAAAAUUGUAUUUGGUCAAAAUGUAAACUUUUGGUAGGUACAAAAUCUCCACUCUUCUUAAUUCAAUUGGUCCAAAUUAAAAUGUUUACCCAAAUAUGCAUUGCUCCUACUCCUAACUAGCUAAAAUGUUCAGCUUAAGUGACUGGCACUUAACAUCUAUUUUUGUAGGUGUGAGUAAGGUUAGCCACAUACUCAUGUUCAUUUAGUAUUUAUAUUCCACCUUGGUUCGAACAUUUUACCCUAUAUGUAAAUAGUUUCAAAACUUUUGACAUUAAAAAAUAUAUAUAUUUUUAUAAGAAAAGAAAUGAUAUGUGAAUUAAAAGUGAGGAGACCUAAUUGAAGGGAAACAAAGAAAUUGAAAGAUGAACUUUGUGGAGGCACCACACCAAGAAGGUGGUCCAAGAAUUACUUACGUGUCGAUUAAAACUAAAAAAGCGCAUUCAUUCUCAUUGGGCGGCGGCCCUUCACUUGCGAAUUUAAAUGAUAAAAUUCUUUUAAAUAAUUCAUCGCAUUACGUUUCAAAUUUCAAACCUAUCCUCUAAAUACUACCAACUGCUGGCAGUGGCAACCCACUCAUUGUCAUUCACCUGCAGCACUUUUCACUUCUGAUUUCUGAAUAUGAAAACUCCAAACCAAACCAAACCAUUACUAGAAAGAAAAAUUAUUUAUUUCAGGGUAUCCUAAUAUAUAAUUCACAAGUUCUGAAACGAGAGAAAAACUAAGAAAACAGAGAGAACGUCCAGAACAUGUGUUUAUAAGAGGUUCCUAUGCAUACAUUCUUUUUAUAAUAAUAAAUUCACACAAUGAGAAGUUACAUAAUUACAUUAUACAUUACUUUUCCUCAAAAUUGACAAGCAAUUGAAAUCAAUGAAAUACAAACAAGACCAAACCCAGAAAAACUAGUGAAAGGAAAUUUCCAAUUUUCUAUUUAUAAACUAAAAAAAAAAAAAAAAAAAAAAGAGAAAUCUGGAAAGUAUAUUAUAUACACUAUCAUGAUAAAUGCUCAAAAUUGAAAAAAUAAUUCCGCAAGGGGAAGGGGAUGGUCUCCUACUAAUGCAAUGGUGUAGCUUACUUGUUAGACCACUGAAAUUCUAUUUCCAAAUUCCGAGGACCGCUUUUGCUUUCAGGCAACAGGGUGUACUCGCCGGCAACCGCUCCCAACAUUACAACUUUGUCAAUUUGAAUUGUUACUUUCCCGAAAGAGCUCUGUUUUUGUUUUAGAGUACAUGAAAAGAAAAUUAGUUGUGAAGCUUUCAUAUGGAAACAAAUGAAGAGAAACAAAGGAAACUUAAAUGAAACUCGCCUUCCCCAUUUUGCUUUUGUUCUUGCAAGAAAUAUGAAGCUUCUGGCCUUUCGGUGGACUCUCAAAGGACCAUGCAAAAUUCUCAUCCCAUUCUGGAUUUGGACCGGUUGAUACAACCUGACCAAAAUUUAAAGAGAAGUUACAGUUUAGAAAUCUGAGACAAAUUGGGAAAAGGAUCAAAGAACAAAAGAAGCGAUGAUAAUAUUGGUUAUGAUGGAAUAAAAUAGGACCACAAAUUUUCUCCUAAAACCGUUCUGCCAGUAAAAUUUUAAUAAGAUACGGGGGCAUUUCGUCCAUGAACUGUACAAAAGAAUUAUUCAAACAUGGUGCAUAUGCAGAUGAAAAAUGAUAUAUGGAGAUGGACCACACAUGCGACAAGAGAAAGGAACCACACUACUCCAGCACACAACAGACUAUAGUUCCGAUAAUUAGUUAAACAUAGCCACUAUAAUUGACUAAUAUAUAAAUUAUCUUCCAUGGAAUAUUUACAAGUGUAAAAACUAUGAAUAAAAGGAAGAUGCAGAGAUGGAGUACAUUACCUUUGUUUGCCUCGGUGGAGUAUUGCCAAGGGUGAGCUUACAAAACACGCUGGGGUUUCCUACUGACUGCUUCAUGUUGUUGCCACGUUUGAUUAUAACUAAUAAUGUUCCUGGCAAGCACUGUAACAAAAAUUCAGCCUUCUCCUGGAAACGAGGAGGACCUGACUGAAUUAGAUACUGAAGCAAAGGAAUGGCAUCUGCAGCAGCAACAGACUGAGCUCUUGAAACCUCCGCUGGACAAGCUGACCAAGCUUGCCUCAAAAGAAACAGGGAAUCUAACGCAGCUUCUUGAGUUGCCUCAGUACCAGUCUUUAAGGAUGUUACUAGAUGAGGAAUGCUGAGUGUAGCAGGCUCAGUAGCUCUCAAUCGUGGGAAGUUGCUGAAAAGAGAAUUUAGGGCUUUCAGGUAUUCCUCAUUCACGGUUCCAGUGGCCCACAAGUCCUUUUCAAUGGCAGCUGCAAGACCAAAUUGUUAUGACACUAUAUCUUCCGAGGCAGGUAAGUAAAGUUUAUUAGGCAAGCGUCUAAGAAAUUGUUGUAAAAGCAGAUGAUUAAUUCUAGAAUGCAGUCUCCCAAGGGGAAAAAAUAAAGGAAAACAUUCAAAAAUAUAUUCAAUCGUGUAGCAGAUGUGCGGAGAUGAUUGAAAAGGAAAACCCAAUUCUAUCAAUGUUAUUAUGCAUGUGGAGGGUUUAGGGAAAUUACCAGUGAUGGCCCUAACUGUCUCACUGGAUGCGUAUUCCUGAAUGGUAUGAUUUGAGAAAAGGAGUUUAAUAAACAUUGCAGCCUGCACAGAUGUAUCUGGAUCACUGGAUCCAAUUAGGUCCAAUACCACCUGAACACCACCAGCCUCUGCAACUGCUCUUUUGUUUGAUCGACUGUACAUAACAAGAUUUUGCAAGGCACAUAUUGCUACCACUUUCAUUUCUUCUGUUGGUUGGUCCUCAAGCACAUUGACCAGAGCACGGCAAGCUGAAACAGCAUCCGUGCUUCUAGCAAGAGCUUCAUUCUGGAACAAAUCACCAAGUGCCAAAGUUGCCAGCAACCUUGGCUGUUGAGCUUGAGUUUGAGGAUCCAAGAGAUACUGGGAUAAUGGUACAAUUGCAGAUUUAGUAACCUUGGUUUCUCUGAUCUUCACAUUAUUAAGAAGUACUUCCAGUAGUCUAGCUGCAGUUUCCUCACAUUGAUGGCUUCUCAGAAGUUCCAACAGUGCCUCAAUUGCUCCACUUUCCGCCAUUGCUUCAGCACUCGUUGCAUCAUCACUUUCAAGUACAAGUAAAGCAUUCAGUGCACCAACCACUGUGCUUUCCAAUCCAGAACGAAGCAACCUGACCAACACCGCAACUGGGACUUCCAGAUAAAAUUCAGAACUGAACUGUAGAAUACUCGCUAAUACAGUGGCAGCAGAUUCCCACAAUGAAUGAGGAAGUGAAGGAUCAGCUUGCAGAAUGACUUUGGAUAACUCACUGACACCACCUUCUUUUGCUAUUUCAUUUGGCCACGUUAGUGCAAUACUAACAAGAGCCUUGACAGCUCUCUGCUGCAAGAUUUGAAUACCAGAACCAAGUACUCGUAUUAGAGGACCAAUCACUUGCUGCGUAACUGAGUCCUUUUGCAAAUGUUCUUCCACAAGUAGGUGUGAUAGGAGCUCAGCUGCCAAUUGUUGCACAGCUGGAGCAGGGGAAUCAAGUAAAGGAAUGAGGGGUUCAAUUGCUUGGUGACAGGUCAAUGUAUAGUCAGCACGACACUGAGGAUGCUCUAAUAUAUUAACAAGAACCUGCAGUGCACUAUGCUGUCCAUCAGGUCCAAAUUCUGGUCUUGUCAACAAUAGGAAAAGAGGUUCAACCACUUUUGCAGCAGAUGAUCCCUUAGCAAUGUUAGCAUUAUUAGUCAGUAUACGUAGCAAUUCUGCAAAGGCUGAACAAAGAAAAUCAGGUGCUUCAAGGAGGAUAUCCAAAAUGCUUUCAAUUACUCCAGCUUUUACCAUUUCCAUCUUACAAGCAGGUCUAUCUUUUCCUAACUUUACAAGUGCUCUAGACACUGCUUCGUGAAGCAUGAAAUUUCUACCAUAGAGGAGGCCUACAAGAGGGAUAACAGCUCCAUGUGCAGCAACUAGUUCUGCUAGUUGUUCAUCAUCAACUAGUUUAUCCAAUGCACGGACAACUGAUUGUUGAGCAGGACUAAAUUCAGUCACAAGAAGCGAUACCAAAGGCUCGACACAUCUCGCAGCAGCCAUUGUAGAUCUGAUUCUUGUAUUUCCAAAAAGUACACAGCACAACUCAGCAGCAUCUCCCUUCAAGUCCAUUGUACAAUUUGUUGACAGAAUUUUGCAAAGGACAUCAACUGCAUUCAUUUCAACAUCUGCAACUGCAAGGGCUCUUGAUGGGUUUUCACUUAAUAAACGAACUAAAGCAGCAAUGGCAGCAUGUUGCUCCCUCUCUGAGCCAGUACUGAGAAUCUCAACUAAGGGUUGCACAGCUUGUCUGGACGAUUCAGCAUUCCUAAUAUGGUCAGCAGAAAAGAGGCUCUCCAAUGCUUUAGCAGCACUAUACCUUGCACCCCUUCCACCCAAACGCAGAACUGCUACAAGCUGACUGACAGCACCAAAUGCGGAUUCAUGCCUACGUAUCUCAGAACUGCUGAAAAGAAUUCCUAACAAAUCAGUAGCAGCUUCUUCAGUUGCAUCUUGUGGUCCAAGUGAAAGAUAUUUGGUCAAUGCUUCCAAAGCCCCUGAUUCUACCAUAACAAUCUUAUUUGAUGGGCAGUCUUUCGCUAGCUGGGUCAAAAUUCCAAGAGCUAGAAAAGGUGCUCCUGGGCGAUCAGGAAUUGGUUUUAAUAAAUCAACAAGAGCUGGAAUUGCUUUCCGAGAAGUAGCACCAGUCCUUAUGUCAUCUACCCGAAACAAUCUCUCCAAAGCAACUUGCUCAGGGUAGCGAACCAGCAUGAAUUCUUCUGACAGUUCAAGAAGAUCAUAUAUGUCAGCAUCUGCACACCCAAGUAAAGAUAUUAAUCCCCCUGCUGCACCAGAGUUUGCAACUGACAGCAGGGUACCCCUGCUACCAUUACAAACUAAACUUGCAAUGGCCUGGGCUGCAAAAUAUCUAUUUGCUGGCUCCUCUGCUUUCAGUAAAUUUGCAAUCACUGGUAUAGAUUUCAUGGUUGCAUGUGCUCGUAUUAUAUCCCUGUCUUGAAAUAGAAUUGCAAGCAAUAGAGAAGAUAUCCAUAUGCUGCUGUCUUCUUUAAAAUCAAUCUGUGUAAAAAUUGAAUAAGCAAAAGAAAAUUAAAUGCAAUUAGUUAUGAAACCACAAUGAGUAAAAUAUCAAACAAAGGACCAUAAAUCAUGGAAAAACUAAAGGAAGGUAAGAAGUUGAGCACCUGAGCAUACUGUGAGGAAUAAUUGGAUAUUCCCUCUGUGAGAACUUCAACUGCUCCAGCCUCCAUGAUCACAGUCUUACUUCUUCCGUCGUGGCAGGCAAGAAGACAGAGUAGCCAUAUUGCGAGGUUGACACCAUAAACAACAGCAGUAGCUUUAUUGCAUUCUGUACCACAGCUGCCUUCUUUGGGAAGUCUAUAUAUGCUGAUAAAUUCCUUAUCAGUAUCACUCUGAUUAUCCAGUACAGAACUCUGCGAAGAGCUUAACAUUGCAACAAGAGAUUGAAUCAGUAGACUACAUGAACUUGAUGCGUGAAGAUCUUCCAACAGCCUGUGGUGAUUAACAUUAGCGGCACAUACGAGAAGGGCAGUUCCACCAAUUUUGACCUUAAUGUUUGUGGAAUUGAUCACCCUCGUAGAAACAGAAGCUAUGCAUCCAGAUGCAGUAACUACUUCUUCUCCUAUAACACCAGGUUGAUCCCGGCAAAGUCGUGCUAAUACCUCAAUAGCCUUGUCCUGUAGUAUAGGAGUUGCGUCAGUAAUGGAUGCAACUAUUGGGGAAAUGCUUUGGGGGAAUUCAGCUAAGACUGCCCAUGCAGGCUUCAUGGUCCCGCUAACCCCUUCAGAUCUAGAUAAAAUAGCAAGAGCAUCUAGUGCUUCAGAUGUGGAAACAGUUCUGGUGUCUGCAGAUCCUAGAAAUGAGACUAAUGCGAGAACAGUUCCUGCACUAUUCACACAAUCAGUGAUGCUAUGGUCAAUUUUCCGAGAGCGAAGCAAGCGAGCAAUUCCUGCUGCUGCAUGUGUCUUUCCAGACAUUGUGCCUUCACGCAAAACCCUAGUGGCAGGCAAAAUAAUUUCUUCAGUAACAGCCUUCUCUUGGACUUCACUAUCAAGUAGAAGAUUUGCCAGAGCACAGGUUGACAGUUCUGUAACUUCCAGAACUGCAGACUUUGCAAGCACAACUAAGGGAGAUAAUACAUCUCUAGCAGCAGCAGCCACGUCCCUGUUCUCCUUGAUUGACAGAAAUAUGGCAGCAAGGCACCGGGAAGCCUCUGCCAGAAUACUGUCGGAUUCAACUUUAAGUAGUUUUAUGACUGAUAAGAGAGUCUGAAUAGCAAUGCUACUUUCACGCAAGUCUUUGCGGAUUUCAAAUAUUCCAGCUAAAGCUGAUGCAGAUUUGGCUUGGGUCUCUUCUCUAGUAGAAUUCAAUAUUUUAAUCAUGGUCUCAAUUGCAUCAUUAGCAGCAGUACCUUCACGCACAAUAUCAUUGAGGGGGACCACAGAAAGCAUACUUCUAAGAGCAUCCAAAACAUAGACUUUGGAUUCUGGUAAAUCACUGGUUAAUAAUGCAGUAAGUUGGCUGAUGGUUGCUGUAUCAGAUUUAUGAAUCAAAUGAUUCAAAGUCUUUGCUGCAAUUUCUUUUCCAUUAGAGCUUCCAUUCUUAAGCAACCACAGCAGUGCAGGGACAGCAUCAGCGCUUUCAACACAUGCACGUAUGUCUUCACUGUGAUUGCAUAAGUUUCUAAGAAUUGUUGCAGAAUCUUCUUUUGCCUUUGCAGAACCAGUCUCUAGAAUUUGAACUAGUGGAGGUAUGCCACCAGCAGCCGUUAUAGCCCAUUUACUCUCAUCAUUUUCGUUCGAUAAAAGACAAAGCAAUGCAACCGCACAUUCCUGUUGCUGCUCUGAUGAGAGUCCAAGAAGUGAAAUCAACAGCUGAACCCCCUCACGACCUUGCAGGGCACGCCAUAGACUACCUUCAUUGUUGCAAAGGGUAAGAAGGGCUCUUACAAGCUCUUCCUGAACUUCAUUGGUUGCCAUUGUGAUCAAACCAACUAGUAAACGUUUUGCAUCAGAAUUUGCAAGUUUGACAGCAAGUAUGGGAUUACCAUACAAACUAGCUAAUGCUUCUAUAGUUCGUUCCUGCACAAGAAAGGUUACACGGGAUCCAAACUGCUUUACUAAAGUCUGUUCAAUAAUUAUAGGAUCUGAUGCUCUGGUGGCUUCUUCUUUGCUAUCAUAUAUCAUAAGAGCUGAUGCUAAAGCCCCUAAUGUGUCGGCAGUUUGAGCAGCUGAUGAGCAUGCCUCAAGGCUUUGUCCAAGGCUUGAGAUAACAUAAGACAAACCACCUGAAAUGUUUGCUAAAGCACACAUAGCAUUCUCCUGCAAUGCCUGAGCAUACUCACCUUGCAUGAACUCUUUCGAGGGAGCUAUUGUUGCAUUUAUCAAGGCAGGGAUACCAUUUGAACUUGCUACCUCACGCCGUGCUUCUUUGCACUGAGCAGAAAGAGAUUUAAGAGCACCUGCAGCUUCUGCUCUAACAGAGGCUUCAUUUCCAGGUCCUAUUAAUUUGAGGAGCUUUUUCGUAGCCUCUGCAGCCAAAACCUUGGAGCAAAAAGAUGCAUCUUCCAUCAUCACAUGUGCCAGGAGAAAGCACACAUUUGCUUGUGUAUUUGGCUCUCCUGUUGCCAAUAAAUUCACAAGUAUGUCUACACCGCCUGCAUUUAUAGUUGCAGACCAAAAUCCCUCAGUGCUGCUUGAGAGGUUUCUUAAAGCUCCAGUCAGUAAGCCAACAACAUUUCCAGAUUUGAGCCCAUUGUGUAGCUGCUCCCAAAGUACCGGAACAACUCCCUCAGUAGAAAAUAUUUUGGAUCCAACGUGAUCCCUAGCACCACCUUGGGAAACAGCAUAAAUGGUCUUUGCAGCAGCAAUUUGACCCUCUGACGAACUUGAUUUGAGGAGACCAAGCAAUGGGGGGAUGCAUCCUCCAAGUAGAACCUUUACCCUUAAUUCAUUUUCCUUGCACAAGGAACCUAAAACAGUAGCAGCUUGUAUUUUCACCCCAAGGGAACCUGAACGGAGAAGAGAAACUAGUACUGGAACUGCUUGAGAGUGAGAUCCAACAGCACUGAAUGCACUCUCACGUGUAUCAAUAAGUUCCAGCAAUUGCCUCAAAGAAAAUUCUUUCUCCUGCACAGAGGAGGAACUCUGCCGCAGCUGCUCAAUGCAUUGAGCAACACUUGCGAGUGUCCCAUCUGGAUCUUCCAUGCUAUUGCGAUCUCUGCAAGACAUAUGAUCAAAGUAAGUCAUCUGAUCUGGGUAUUAUUGUUCAGCGAUACACAAAUUGAACAAUAACACUUGUAUUUUACUACUUGGAUCGACUCACACAAAACAAGACUGAAUUAUAUGCUAUCCUCAUUUACUAUUGGACUCAUUCAUCAUAUGCUGUCCUUUAAGGAGGCUUGGGCUCUGGAAAGAUGGGGAAAAUGAAGUUCAAACUGAAGGAGAAGUGGACAGCCAACUAAAAUUUAUUAGGUCCAUUCACAUCCGUGUUCUUAAAACAAGACAACACACACACAUACCUAUGUCAAAAAUUAAAUGAAAAAAAUGUGGAUAUGGUAAAACCUCUAAAAUAAAAUAAUGCAUGCAAGUGAAGUGUAUACAUAAAAGCAUAUUGGUUAUCAAACAAAAAUGAGUCUUUCAUAAAUGCCAUGAAAUGACAAAAGGAACAAAAAUUAUACAUACAAGGACAGCCAAUAAAUAAAACCAUAUGGAUUAUCCUUAGAAGUCAGAAUACACAUCUUCCAAAUAUAACAUGAACUUGUUAAAAAAAAUGAAAUAAAUAAACAUUCAACUUUGAUUUUACCUGGAGCCCAUCUUCAUAAUAGAAUGCGGAGUAGGAGGCUCUGAAUCUUGAAUUUUUCCAUCCAUGUUUUUCUCCUACAACAAUUGAACACAGAAAUGAUUAGUACAUAACUAACAUAACAUGUACCACAAAAUCGAGAAAGUAGAAUACUUUAAAGAAAGCAUAGAACUAUCUUAAGCAGCUUAUUUUGUUUUUCCCAAUACAUAAACACUAAACAGGGUACAUACUAAACCACUCGUAUCAAAUUGAAGAUGACAUCCCAAAGAAAACUGCAUUGACUAAGAUUAUCUUUGAAAUUCAGUUAACCAGUCCAUCCGUCUGUCCCCUCUUAAACCUCAAACAAUAUUGAGCUUAGACAACCAAAUAAUUAAAAUAAGCAUACUCAUGAGUCCAUAACCCAAUUUUCUUGAUAUGCAUCAGAAUCACACUCACACAUGCUCACAUUUAAAACAACUAUUGUUUUCAUAAGCACUCCAUGCAAGAAUUGGUAAAGGGAAAAUUAAUUUACAAAUCUAAUGACAACAUUUAAAUAGAGGCCACAAAAUACCAGAUCAUUAGUAGGAUGACUGCUACCGUUGCUGGCAGCUAGUCUCCAAGUUAGUGUCGCCGCCAGUUUCUCUUCCUUUUAAGUUACAAUGAAGAUGAAACAGAACGUCAGAAUUCUACAGAUCUAUGAAAGAAAGGCAAUUAAUAGCAUAGCAUUCUCCUGCAAAACAAUCAUGAAAAAACCAGAUCAGAGACAAUGAUUAAAAUGCCGCGAAUCCAAAUAUUUUAUAACACUUGAACCGUUUCCAUACAACUAACAAAUAAAUAACAAAACCAGAAAAACAGCGAUGCUGCUGAAGUAGCGGUUCUAAGACUAAUUGAGCCAAUUAAAGUUCUUCAGGACUAAUGUGAAAUUAAUUUCACAUCACGCAAGGACACAUAUAAACUGUCUAUACUCCCGACACCGCCUCUCUCCAGUAAAUCAAAUUCCAUCAACAAUUAAAGACGGAAAUGAAAUCAAACCAAGCAACGAAAAUCCACAGAUUUACAUAAACACCGACCAACUAAAAUAAAAAUGACGCAGAUCCAGCAACAAAGAAUCAAAGUACAACUGAUUUAGUGAUCAGUCAAACAAGUCUAUAAAUGCACAACACAAAUAAAGUAAAUUAUAAUAGCAUUUGGCUAAGGCAAAAUCGACAAAUCGAAAACAGGAAUUUCAGUGAAUUUUUUACAUCGUGGCCAAUGCAAGCAGCUCAAAUCCAUUUCAUGCAUCAGAAAGAAAAUGAUAGAGAGAAAAAACCAACCUAAGAAGAGACUGGAAUGAAGAGCAAGUUUCUUACAAGAGAAGCGAGCAUAAAGAGAGAGUGAGAGAGCUUAGCCUCUGAUUUUCCUUUUUUUCUUUCUGGUGCUGUUGCUCUCUCUCUCUCCUCUUUUUUCCUCUUUCUCUCUCUAAAAAAUGGGAAUUACGUCUCCGAAUAUACAGAGAUUGGAACGGAACCAAGCAGGAGACAGCGAUGAAGCUUUAUGAGCUUUUUCCACAUCCACACUCUCACUAAUACACCACCGACAAGCUAAGCCGCCGCUUUCCCGGCUAACCUCGGCUCGGCUCACAUAUUCCUCCAUUUUUUUCUUCAUUUAUUUUACAAAUUAUAAUUGUCAACCAUUAAUUAAUUUUUCUAACUCUCUCUCGUCUUAAAAAUAAUAUAUAAUAAUACUAAUUAUUAAUUAUUAUUAUUAUUAUAUAACUCUCUUUCUCUGUCUACAAUUUAUCUCGUGGUGACUUUACAAUUAAUUGAGUUGAGAAUUUCUUCUUUAAAAAAAAAUUUGGCUUGAAUUAUUAAAAAGUAGAAAAAGAAAAUUAAAAUCAAGAGGAUGAAUUGAAAUGAAAUGAUACCUUAUCUCUCUCUAGAAAUGUUUUAUUAUUAUUUUAUCAUAUAAUAGACAGGUAUUGUGGACAGUGAGAUACACCUAAUAAAGCUAAAAUAGAUUAUAUAAGAUUUGUCUAAUAGUCCCUCUCACUUAACUGAAUUUGAUUUUCACUCCCUAAUCAAAAUGCAUUACGCAUCCCAAAAUUGAACCCAGAAAAUAUAUAUAUAUAUAGAAUUCCCCUUUUGUAAUUAAAGGUUAUACGUCUGAAAUAUUUUACCCUCGAUGAUAAGUCAAUUUUUAGUUUUACAUAUUGGUGAAGCACAUGAGUUUAAUGAAAUUGUGAGUAAGAUUAUUGGGGAAGAAUGAGAAAUUUGGGAGGCAGAUAAGAAAUAGAAAAGACUUGAGGGAGGAGAGUUUGUUGGUAAUUGUGAUGAGAAUGAAAUGAUUGGGACUGUGUAGCAGCCGGUAUGAUGUUAUGAACAAUAUUCUCUGGUGAUUUAUAGCGACAUUAUUUGUAGUUUUGUAUUUAGCUGUGCUGUCACCUCCCACGUUCUUUCUCUUCAUUCAGCUAAAACUAAAACUCUCUCUCCCUCUCCAUAGCCAUGCCCCAUGUUCCGUCAUCUAAUCUCUUCUAUGUCUAAUCUCUCUCUUUAUAUAAUACAUUAUAUAGCUGUUGAUUUGGCAACAAUUGUGAUUAGGGAUAUAAGACCUCCAUUAUGUGAUAACAGUUGAUUAAGACUGUAAUUUGGAGCCAACUAAAGCAAUUACACGAUGAUUUGGUUCGCUGUCACUUUUUAUAUUAUUAUAUCCAAAGAAAUGUGCACUCUUUUUGCACAUCAACGGGCAAUCUUAUUUGAAAAGUAAUAGUAAUAAUAAAAACAAAAACAACACAAUCCAAGGACUGCCUAAAGCUGAUGACGGUAAUUUCAUGAUUAAUUACAAACCACGAUGGGAGAAAAAAGAUAUUUAUUAAUUCUUAAUCCAUCAAACUUGGAUUUGAAGAAUCCGAAAGGACACUUUAUUAAUUGGUCAUCUUCUAUUGGUGCAAAUAUGGAUGAAAUUGCCAGCUAAAGGGGCCGGCUUUGGUUGGUAUGUUUAGAAUUUUUUGCAGUACUUUUAAAGCAAUAUCGAAUUUUAGAAAAUCACAACUUCAACUUCACCUUACCCUUUUAAAAAGAGAGAAAAAAAGAACAGAAAAAAGAAAAAACUUGGUCUUGCCCAAUCCCAUCAUUUCCACCAUACAAAUUAGAUUGGGCCAAAAUGGAGAGAUUACACACCUACUAGUAUUAGUACUAAUUAGAUAUCAAAUAAAAAUUAUGAGUAAUUAACUAACAAACUUAAUCAUCCUAGCACAAUUUUGUCACAUUUCAUUUUUAUAUAUAAAGUAGGUUGUUAUAGCACUCUCAGAAGGUUAUCUUGGAUGAGGAUUUUUAGGUAAGGGUGGAUUUGACUAAAGAUGUUGAACAGAAGCAACAUGGAUUUAUGAAGUCCGAAUUUAUUGGAAAUAUCCAUAGGUUUCCUACCACAUCAAAAUUACUGUUAACAAGCUCCAAAGUGUUAUUAUAACUGAGGUUUUCUAGAUUCACUAUUUAAACCCCACAACAUACUAGACUUGAUGCCAAACUCAUGCCUCAAAGGGCCCCUCAAAUAGUAUCCUAUAUUAAGAAUAUUUUCCUCCCCCUAAUUUUGAAAAAAAGGGUCCGACAAGAAUCAUCUAUUUCUAAGUAAGACGAUUUCUUCAACGAUUUCUUCAACAAUUUCUAAUAGCAGAUCUCCGACAUGAGAAAUGUAUAUCCUUUGAGAAUAACUAUUCAUAAACGUAAGUGCUGAAAGCAAAAUACUACCGCCAAGGUCCCUUCAACCAGAUCUGGGAUAACCACCAAACAUGCUUAUAAUCAAACAUGUUAAUGAAAAGCAAUGCCUUUCGAAGCAAAGUAAUAAAAGUGCCUCUCAAGUGAAAACAAGAACCAGGUAUUUGCAACUAACCCACUUUGACAAAAGGUUGCAAUAUGAGUUUGGCAUUGGCCUGAGAAGUGCCCGAAUGGCUGCAGUUGCUGUUCUUGGCGCUGCAGCAGAAGUAAAAUCCGUUACAAAAUUUUUUAUCAAGGUCAAUACAGAAAGAAUGGUGCUAUCCAAGAAUCGUGCGUUCCUCUUGCCUGAAAACUUGUGAUCUUUCUGUUCCCUGGGUAAACAUAGAAUUUUAGAUGCUCUGUAGAUAGAACCCUCAACUAAGAGGUGCGACAUGAAGCUAAUAAAUAUGUACUACAAAAAAAAGCACACAACCAGUGCCUGUAUACCGGAGACAGAGAUGGCAAAUUACUUUGAGGUGUUAGGUAAGGCUUAUUGAUGAGGCAUAUAGUUGAAGCAGGGUCAGGGCUUGCUCCGUAAUGGCUCGAUUUCUUGCUUGCCUUACCCAAUCAUGAACUACCUCUUCUGCUUUUGUGCCUUUAACACCUUCUUCAAGAGAAUGUGCUGCUUCAGCCAAGUUUCCUUCAGCCAGGCAGGACUCCACUCGGUUGAUGAUAGAUUCGAUCCCAGUACCAGAUUGGUCAGCCUCCUUCACCUAAAGAAGGUCAAGGAAAUUUCAGAAACUACAGCAAUAGGGGAGAGUAAAUGGGAGAUUUAAAGUUCUCUCUAAUUUACCUUAAUCCAGGAUGCUACACGAGCUAAAGAAUGUGCCAAAAUGCCACCACCGCCUGGUGGGAUAAAGCUCAAGUGCCGUAACGGUGCUUUUAAUGCAUCAAACUGCAUGCAAGGAGAUGAAUAAGUUAUAAGCCAGAUACUUUCACCAUCAAAGAUGAACUAGACUACCAAACAGUCAAUAUUGUACAACAAUAUUCCAGAACGAGUCAGAUUUGAUAAAAUCAAAGAAUUACGACGGUUUGAUAACAUUCAAUACAUUUUUGGGGGAAAGAACAAAGGUAAAAGAUAAUAUCUGAUUUCCUCCCCAUAAAGUAAUUCAUGUUGACAGAUAUGGUUGAAAGUAGUAAGAAUUUCUUCGAAAUCAACAACAUUGCUAUUCAAGAACUUUUUUUUUUCUUUAGUUGCCUUUUCUCGUACUUCCAAAUUCCAUCUGACCUACACCAAACUUAAACAGCUAUUCAAUCACGUUUUCACUAAACUUUUGUUUUAAAAAAACAAAUAAUAACUCUUACCAAUGCCAAACAGCCCCACGGUUUUUCAGUAAAGGAAAUGACACUGAUUAUAAUUAGGUAACCUUUUGAGAGAGAAGUAUGCUACAAUUUAUCUUCAAACCAGGGAGAACUUAAUGUACCUUUUGUGUCAUCUGUAACAACGUAUCUGAGCCAUGAUUCAAUAUUUCUUUAGGAAUGGAUGAAAGGAUCAGCUCUAAGUUAGAAUCUUUGUCAAUGCCUUGAAGAUUAACACGUAAUGCUUUUAUUUCAGCCUGGAUCGGUAACCCUCUGGAAAGAGCAUCUUCAAGUGCCAGUGCCCCCUAUAAGAUCGAUGACUUAUAGUUGAUUAAACACUUUGAGAUAAAUUGGAUUGGCUAUGCGCUAGCAAAAUAUAAAAAGGAAAAAAUAUGAUUUACAACCAUGAAAGUUCCUGAGACACCUUGUACUUGAGCACAAUGCUCGUUGAUGGAUUUAUACAUAUAUAAACUUUCUUGACAAAUGAAAUACAAAAGCAAGGGUUUAAAAAUCCUUAGAAAAUGCCAAGUUUAUAAAAAAUACUCUACUGCAGAUUCAAGGGAAGUUUUGGAGAAUUUCCUCACUCUUAAGUACAAUUCUCUCACAAGAUAACUGAGCAAAAACGUACUUCCCUGGCACUUUCUUACUUACAGACUAUAUAUUGCUCAAACCAAAGCUCAUUCUCACUAUAUUCUCAGGGGCCCAUCCCUCUAACUAACUAAUAACAAUUUAAUAUUCCUCAACUGCCUACACUUAUACACAUGCUUAAUGGGGGGGUCUAUCAUAGACUCAUAGUCAGCACAAAUAACCAAAAGAGGCUAAUUACAGAAACCUCGACUAAGGAAUCUCCAAUUGAAUCUUACAGGCUAGAACAUCCACCCUUGACAAAAGAAGAGAAUGAGAUUAUUCAAGCAAGAAUACUAUGACAAGCAAUUUUACAAUGUCAAAACCUGUCUUCAUUCUAAGAACAACCUCGGAUCUUAUUUUCAAAAGAAGCCUCACAAAACGUAACUAAAAAAAAAAAAACAAAUACCGUUUCCAAAUUUCAGCGUACACCCUAAUUUUAUGUUUUUUAUGGAAACAUACUGGUUUCAAACUUUCUAAAAUGCCUACAAAUAUGUAUGUUGUUGCGGAGAGACCUAGAACUAUUUUAACCUGGAAGAUUUUAAACGUAGUUUAAUCCCAAUGUUCAUCAGUUUCCCUGUUCACAUGCAAAUGAUGUAAAUCUGAUAGAAGAAUGAUCACCUUCAAUAGUACCCAAACUACUAAUAUUAGAUGCACAAACGUGCACCAGUAUGUAGGAAGACAAAUCUUUCUCCAAAAGUAAGUUUAACUUCAGUUUCUUCUAUACUACAAGUAAGAAAUGAAAACAUCAAUAAGUAGAAGUGCGAACUUACCAAUGCAAGUUUCUGAGCAGAGUGACUUUGACGAGCUUCUUCAGACCUUGCAUAGAAUGCCAUGCAAAGGGCAUUAAUCUGCAAAAAGAAGUUUCACACAUAAACAGAUUAUUGGUGGUAGAUUGAUUGCCUGGAUUCAGGCCAAAGGACAUGGAGCUAUAUUGGAACAUGCACAUCAUUGACAAGAAAAUAAACUAUUAUAGCAACAAAAGAAUUGCCAAAUUGAUGUACAGUUGACGUGUUUCUUCAUUAUAGUGUAAAAUUUUCAUCAAGCAAUGUCCAUAAAAAUCGGUGAGCAUCUUUCAUCCUAUGAAGGAAAAACUUCCCCCCGAAUGGUGAUAUCGUAAAUGAAGAACUAAACAUUUUUUUUCAACUUUUUUUUUCUUGUUAUGAAUGUCAUUUUUUAAGGAGGCAUGUUAGGUCCUAAUAUUAUCUAUAACUUCCACUUUGAAUAUGCAUGAUGUUUUUAGCUCAGGUAAAUCAAUAGCUUGUGCUAUAUUGCUUACAUGAAGAUUUGCUUCAGCCAUUUUUUCUAUCUGGGCAGCCUUCUCACUUGCAAUUGCUGCAGCUAACUCUGCUUUUGCCAGAUCUUGAAGUUUUCUCAACUUUGAUUCUAACUCAUUUUCCUGCAAUGAAAUCAUUUUUAAAAGUAUUGGUAAAGGGUCAGCAACUUGAGCUUGUUUGUCAUUUAAGAAACACUCCUACCUUCUGUUCAAGUUCCUUCUGAAAUUUAUCUUCCAAAUUCUCUUGUAGUGACAUCAGAGCAGCAGCUGCUUUUGUUUUCUCUCGUUUUAACUCCUGAAAAUAGUUAAAAUCCCAAGAAGCCAAUUAUAAGAAUGAGAGAAACACAACAACAGUGUACAGAUGUACGCUCUCUGUUCAGAUGAUACAUCUAUAAGAGACUCCACGUGCGUAAUUCAAAAAUUGAGAAUUCAACCUUGUCCAACAUAGCAGCCUUUUCUGCAUGCAUAAAUUCCCUAACCCGAGCAUCCCUCAAUGCUUCGUCCAUCUUGUUCUGUACAGAACAGAAACAUAAAUCACAGUCAAUAAUAGUCGCAUUUCAUAAAAAUUACAAUCGUUUCACGUACGAUAUAAAAAAUAUCUAUCGAUCCAUACCCACAGUGCUGUCUUUUCAUCAGCAAAACGACGAUAAUCCAGCUCAGCUUGCCGCUUUUCAGCAGCAUGAAUAGCUUCUAAGAAAUCAAUGACCAAUUUCCCAUCCUUGGAUAUGAAGCCAUCAUUCAACUCCUCAAUUUCAGCAAUUAAAGCCUGGCAUCUUGGAAACAAAACUUUAGAUCUUGUCUAAGACUCCUUUACUCAAUUCCAGAAAAAUGGACAUCCAUCAAGAAGAAGGAAAAAGUAAAUGACCUCUGUUCCUUUGUAAAACUUGUCAGUUCCAUCUUUGCUACCACCACCCAAGGAAGUCAUGCCAGCCUCACCCUUCAAAUGGUAGGCCUCGAGAAGAGAACUUGGCUCCCCUGUAUCUUCACUUGUAUCAUUCAACUCCUGGAUAGAAUACGAGCAGAGACAGAUUCACUUUAAGUUACACAUCUUUACUAGAAAUGAAUAUAUUUGGAUAAGAGAUUAAUAUAUUUAAGAAACAAAAGUUCAGAGAUGAUAUCCUGUGAAUCUAGAAUGUCUAAUUCUAAUGAACCAAUCAUCCUCAUCAAACUUCAUUUCUGGCCCGAAUACUAUUAGGCAAGGGAUUCUAGGUACCUGGUAUUUUUUCUAACUUGCCUCCUGUAAUAAACGUUUCAGUAAUCCCUUUCUGACACUGGAGUGGACGAAUAAUAAGUUGGAAUAGACCAAAUAGGUUCGUCUGCUGUAUGAUGAGAGGCUAGUCAUCUUCUUCAACACCCUAUGCAAUAUUUACAAAUUUUAACCUUCUUAUUAAUCCAUAAGGAUUAUAGACCUAUAAUCUGGUCUCUCCUUCUGCAAAGUCCUCAUCAUAUUUGAGAAGAUUUUUAUCAUGAGAGAUGAUGACUUGGUUUUGCCACUAUCUUGCUAACACGUGUUUCAGUUUCACCCACGUAUCAAAGAUAAGGGGGUUUGGACAUUUGAUUGUUCCAAGUCUUUCUCUUGUGAGCUGGUUUCUGGAAGGUUACACUCAUGAAGAAAACUAAAUUUUGCACGCUUGAUGCCUGGUGAUUUAUAGGAGGAUUAAUCCCAAAUCUCCACAGGUGUUCCUAUUUUACCAGUUAAUUGAAGAUUAAGAGGAUCUACACAUUUUUUUACUUUUCCCUUUUCCCAUAAUGAUUUGGUUUAGGUUUUGCAAUUGUUUGGCAUUAUUUUGGCCCCAUUUUGUAAUUUUCAUUCUAUGAUUGAAGAAGUUCUAGUAGAUCCUUCAGUUCAGGAAAGAGAAAUAGACAAUUGUGGUGGCAGGUUUUUAAUCAACAUAAGAUAUAUUUGGUAGAGAGAAACGUGAGGAUGUUUCAAUUAAGGGUCCUCAGAUAAAGUGUAGCCAGACUCAAAAUUAAGUUCCUCAUAGAGGAUUUUUUGUUGAAACAUUUUUAGUGAUUUUACUCUCAUUUCAAUUACCAAUAAUUAUACCAAUUUUUUCUAACUGUUUUCCUUCUCAUAACCCUUUUAUCUUGGCGUGGGCUUUUUUAUAUACAGCCUCUGUUUACUUUCUUCCCUGCCUCUUAAUAUAAGCUGGUUCACUAUUAAAAAGAAUUUGCAUUGAGCACGUGCAUUGUAUUGUAUGACUUAAACCUUCAAGCUACCAUUACAUCAACAUUUGAUCUGAAUGGAUAAAUUGAAGUUACCUUCAGUUUCUCUUCUGCAACUGUAUCUUCUUGUGGUGGUAUUCUGAUAUCAAUCUGUGCGGGUUCUGCAUCUGUCUUGCUAGAUAUUGGUGAAGUUUGAACUUCAUCGUGAGGCCAAUCCCUAGUACAAGACUCUGCGCUUUGCAUGUUCAAGUUUUCAUCUGUGGAUAUUUUAGAUCCAAGAUUCUCAUCCUCUACUUGACUGCCACUUUGAGUAAAUUCUGGCAAGUUUUCCUCCUCGAUCUUUUCAUGUGGCAGUGUCCUGGAACUGUCUUCAAACUGACCAUCAUCUUUCUCUUUUCCCCAAUCUUCAAGAUGAGGAAGGUGGGUAUCUGUCUCAACUUUCUGCUCAGUAGACUCCACAAUGGGAUUUGAGCUCUCGGUUUCUUCUCUAACACUAUUCGAUUUUUCGGUUUCCUCACUACUCGGUAAAUCAAAUUUCUGCACCACCAAAGGUUGGACAUUGUCUGAAUCACUUUUCUGAACUGUUUUAGUUGACUCUACAGAAGAAUUCUGCUCUAUAUCAACAGUUCGUUGGUCUAGAUAGCCGGCUUGGUAAGCUGCAAAAACAGCAGCACCAAUAACAACACUGCCAAAGACAACUUUUGGGAUGGAAUUUCCAGAAUUAGGUGGCACAUUUGUAGGUUGUGGUUUCAGAUUUUGUUUGGGCGCAGAUGAAAAUUCCCUUAUCUUAGAAAUACAUUGGGGUGUAUGCCAACAUUGCACCUGCAACAAAAACCUGUCAAAGAAUCAGAAAAUAUUUGAAAAAGUACACCAUUAAACCACAAAAAAUAUCAGGAUUGCAUAGUUUGGUCCCUAUAUUUUAUUAUAGACUAGUUUUGCAACACACUCUGUUCGUCCUCCCAUUUCAUUUGUCUCACAGCUUUUGGGCACAGUAAAAUUAAACAUAAGAAUAGAAACAUGUCAAUGGGUUUAACAUUUCUUAACACUGUCAAUUAAUUACAACAGCAGAAGAAAGAAUGGUAUAAAUAGAAAGUUCGUGUAUGUUAUAUGAGAAGGCUUCAAGUAGUCAGUUAAUAAAGACAGCACAACUGCAUCACAAGCACGUAGCAGGCAGAUGAAAAACUAUAUGCAUGUCUUUGCUCCCAAGUCAAAAAUAAAUUUCCAAGCAUUUAUUUUGCAGAUGCUCGUACUACCAAGAAAGAAUAGCAUAAAUAGCAAUUUAGUGUAUGUUAAAAGAUCCCAAUGUUGUACAUUUCCACCCAACUGCAUCUACGAUAACAUAUGUGAAGAACCAAGCAUGUGGAUUUAUAUGCUUAUAAGUCGAAUACACACUUCUCCAAAUAUCUGUUUGUAAAUUAUCUCAGCGUUUGGAUUGUACAAAACGAAUUCUGAUCGCAAAAAUGGGAAAGUCUUAUUUACGAAAUUCUACUUGCCUGGGGUGAACUCUGCCUCGGAGUCCUUCCACCAGAUUGACGAGAUGAUAAUUUCAGAAUUGACCUGCAGACAACAAUGCGAUAAAAAUACUAUCUAUAAGCAUCACCCGCUGUAACCGAACCCAGCGAGAUCCAAAUUCAUACAUAACAUGGCCAUUGACAUUGAGAUUUAUUAUCAUUUAUUAGUAGAAAAUUCCUAUUGCUGAGAAUGCCAAAUUAACCCUCGGGAGAUUAAAGAAUAAGAAUCUGGCAAUUUUCAACCAUUCAAGAAAACACUGCACUCGAAGGACAAUCGAAAUGACUAAUUAACGAAGAACAUCAACAUCACGAGCAAAAUAAAACAUAGUUGAAACAUAGUUCAAGAACAUUUCCGUACCUCCGCCACAUAGCGUAUACCUAUUCAGUGAAAACGGCGAGCGACGAAGAUAUUUGAGCGAAUAACCAAGUAAGCGAUUAAAUGCAAGUUGGGCAGUGGGUGAUGGAAAGUCCGGCCUGGUAGGAGGGUGGAACAACGGGUUCGAAAACUCAAAUUAACAAUCGGUUUACCGGAGGAAGAUCGCCGGAGACGAAGGAAAACAUCCGAUGACACCGGAAUUUUACCGCCUAAUUAGAUGUGUCCGACCAUCCGCAAGGAAUUAUUCCGCGAGUUGCAAUAGAUUCUACAAGGCCCAUUUAUAAAGUUGGGCCUUGAGCCCAAUAGAUUUGUAGGAGGUUGAUGAGCUGGGCUGAACGAAUCUGACAAGACUGCCCUUAUUCGGGUCCAUUGUGAUUCUAAAGGUAUGACUCGAUCAAUACUUUGUAGAUGUAAAUUUGAUAGACGAGCUAGUUUUUUUUGCAACAACAAAUACAGCCUUCUUUUUAAAUCUCAAUUGAAGCAAGGUAAUCUUUUAUGAUAUAACAUACGUGUAGACUUGAUUAAAGAAACAAACAAAAAAUUAGGGGAAAAAACUAAAGAGAUUGUAUUUUCUUCAACUCAAAGUUUCCCCAACUAAUAAUACUGUUGUUGCUAGUUAGGUUUCUCCCACCACAAGAACUGAUAAUGAAUUUAAUAACUGUAAAAAAAUAAAAUUUGGGAUAAUUCUUCUGUAAUAGUAUUUCAAGUGACCGAUACCGUUUUAGGCUAUUUUUAAACAUAGCAUAAUGAAUAAACAUAUAUAUUACACCAACACAAAUUACUAUUUUGUAUUUAUCAUGAUAGCAGUUUAUCUUGGUAUAUCACAUGUAAACAGUUAUAUUUUUUUAUAUUCAUAAAUAUUAUAAAAAAAACGUGCAUUAAAAACACUUUAUCCUUUUUCAAAAGUAACAAUAAUAAAUAUUUUUCUCUAAUAAUAUUCGAAAUUAUUUCACAACCUUUAAAGAUUGUGUGGAUUGCCCAUGUGUUCAAGCAUCUUUAUGUCUAAAAUAGAUUCGACUUAGUUAAACUAUAAUUGACCAAUCAUUUCUCUCUAACAGUCAAUGAUUUGAUUUUUCAUUCUAUGAAUGUUGAAAACAUAUACAAGGGUGUAAAAAUUUGUUUAAAUGAUAAAACGAUUGAAAUAUUUACAAACAUAACAAAAUUUAAUAGUUUAUAAAUUUAUCCGCAUCCAUUUGACAUUUAUUAGAUAAAUGAUAAUAAUCUAUCAACAUUUAUUAUUGAUAUUUUACUAUAUUUAUAAUUUUUUUUUGGUUCAUAUCACUUUAUAGGAAGUGGUUAUAUAUAUAUAUACAUACACUUAAAAGCAUCAAAGUGGAGUGGUAGGGGCCAUGUCACAUGGGAAGAACAAAGAGGCAUCCCAAAUUCAAAGAGUGAACCAUGCAUGUCAUGUCACAUAAAGCAUUAAUUUUCUUUUAUAAUAUUUUGUUUCCUGUUUUUAGUUAAAAAGAGAUAUUUGAGAUAAAAUCCCACAAAAGUGAUAUCUAAUGAAUUUCACUAUCAUAUCCAAAAACUCAAUUAUUAGUUUUCAAAACGCACACACACACAAUUAUCAAAAUGUUUCUAAACAUAUAGAAAAAAUCUACUCACGUUUUUAUACUAAAAUUUCUUUUGAACAUUACUGAGGUUGUCUGUCUCUAAUGGGUGAAUUUCUUUGACAUACUUAUUUCAUUCUUUCAGCAAUCCUUCAAUUUAGAAAUCUAAACACUUUCUCAGAGCUAGAGAUGCAUCAAUCAAAGACUAAUCUUGACAUUUUUCUAAUUCUUUAUUACAAAUUACCAUAUUUUUCACCAAAUAUAGAAUCUAUAACCCAACUAUUUUUUGCUAUUCAAAAAUCGUUUAGAGAGAAAUUGCACAAUUAAGUCCUUGAGGAAAAUCGGCAAAUGGUACAUAACAGCCAUGAGGGUGGAAUAGCUUCCAUAUGAGAACCAAGGCGAUGGCUUCGUUUUAAGAACAGCGGCGACUGUCUUCUCGGCAAACUCGGCAGUAGGGGUGGCGUUAGAGCCCUGCGAGGCAUUGGCCCUGGCUAACAUUGCAGCUUCAAAGGGCUUGAAUAGCUUCAACUCAGGCAUCUGAUUAAAGUUGGCAAUGGCAGAGUUUCCAAUGUUUGAUUUAAUGGCUCCAGGGACAACGUUGAUAACGUCGAUUCCAAAGGGCUUCAGCUCCAUCCUUCAAUGAUGAAAAUAUCGAUCAAGUCAACCAACAUCACAGUGUGAAAUAAAUGCGAAAAUCAAAUGAAAUAUGUCAGCAAAUUGAAUUGGAUAUUCAUUGCGUUUAUUCAAGUUUCUAUCAUGGGCCGUGGCCCCCUAAAAAGCAAAAAGAAAAAAGAAAGUUUUAGAUUUUGAACUUUAAUGUCUUGGAAUAACUUUUCUAAGCAUUGAAAAAAAGAAAGUUUUUUUGGAGGGGUAUUUUUUUGCACAAGAGUUGAGAGUAACAACAUAGAAACAGAAGUAGAAGUGUGGAAUGGUAAACUUCCCCUCUUUAUUUAAACUAAAAAAUUUGUAGGCUUUCACAACUAAAAAACAUCAAUAACCCGUACAUUUUACUCCCAUCAGUUUACAAGUUUCUAGUUUUCAUAACUCACAACUUCACUCUUUGCCUCAAAGAUCGUCUUAUAAAACAAUGUUCUAUAAAGUCAUUUCAAACCGACUUUCAUGAAGAAAUAAGUUGUCUUGAAUCAACAAUAAGUAACCCAUAAAAAUAAACCCAGCAGAAAAAGAAAUAUUUGCUUACCCAUCAGACUUUUGUGGGUUGUUUCUGUUUCUACAGUUCUACUUCAGUGCAUUGUAACUUAAUAUAUUCUAUACAUAUCUUUGAGAUCUUUGAGCUGCUAAAAAGAUACACUAGAAAUUCAAUAGGACCCCGGCACUUAUUUUUCUCAUAUGAAUACUCAAUUUAAACUUUAAGCAUAAAGGUCUCGAACCCACUACAUAAUCAAACAAGCAAAAACAUCAAAAUUUCAAAUCCAACUAAAAAUUAUUCAAAGAUAGAUAAACAAAGUGGAAUGAUGCUCAUCCACUCACAAGAAUGGCUACAAGAAUCGGAACUCAAAUCCAUAGAAAUAUUAAUUUAAUCCCUUGAUUUAAGGUAAGAAUUGCGGUUGAAAGUUAAACUCCACCAACGAGCUUUAUUUGAAUUUUGGUUCUUUAUUUUUAAAAAUUAAUAUUUAUAAACCCUAUUUUCACCUCUAAUUUUCUUCCUAACUCGUUUCUAAAAAAUCUAAACCACUCAAAAACCAAAAAAAUAGUUUUAAAGUAUGUCUGAAAACUUUUUAGUUCUUUUGUUUUUGGUCCUCGAACAAUGGAUUUGUUCUUUUAACAACUUCCCUGUCAUACUAUUUAUCAAGAAAGACCAAAUUUUCUUAGUAAAUUUUCAAAUUGCAAAAACUAUCUUUCUUUACUUUUCAAAAUUUAGUCUUGGUUUUUAGAAUUGCAAAUUGCAAAAACUUUCUCUACCUUUCAAAACUUAGUAUUGGAUUUUAGAAUUAAUGAUAAAAGGUGGAUAACUAAAUAAAAAAACCAAUAGAUGAAAAGUAGAGAGUUUGUAAACUUAAUUUUUAAAAAGCAAAUUGCUAUCAAAUAGCUUUAGUAGUCAACUUUCAUCCCAGAAAAAGACUAGUGAGGUUCAAAUUAACUUAAUAAACUAUCACUAGCGAGGGUCUGGAAGAUCGAGAUAAUUAACUAAGGCAAGGCAAAACAUUUCGUGCAUGAUCAGGAACACAAAACAAUUGUUAAUUAUACCAUUAGAUGAGAAUCAGAGAGGUAUAUACGAACCUCAGACAGUCAGAAAUGGAAUGAAUAGCAGCUUUGGAUGCAGUAUAAGCACCAGCCCAUGGAAGAGGCGCCAAUACGGUGACACUUCCCAAAUUCACAAUCUUCCCCUUUCUUCGUGAUGCCAUGUGAGGAACCACGGUUUGAAUCAAUCUCAUAGUCCCUGCAAAUGCAAUUCUCCAAUUCAUAAAUACUAAUUUAACAUAAUACAAUAAUCCACUCCUUUCCAUAUUGGAGUGUUCAUGUUCAAAUUUUCCCCACCUCUAACUCUGCUUUCUACAUUUCACAUACCAAACAAACAGCUUUGUUUCUAACCAGUGGCGAAUCAGAAAUUUUAUUGACUAAGGCUUUAUAGACUAUUAAAAAUAAUUUGGAAGAAAAUAUAACUAAUAGGACUUGAACCUGAGUAUAGAGGGACUAAAUAAUUUCAUUGUUCACCAACUUCUUAAAUUGGUACUAUUUCAGUUUUCUAUAUAUAUAUAUUGUAAUAUAAAGAUCUUAAGUUGAUGGAAGAAAAUAUAACUAAUAGGACUUGAACUUGAGUAUAGAGGGACUAAAUAAUUUCAUUGUUCACUAACUUCUUAAAUUGGUACUAUUUCAGUUUUCUAUAUAUAUAUAUUGUAAUAUAAAGAUCUUAAGUUGAUGGGACUCGAGCUCCUGUACCUAUGCUAAAUCCACCCGUGUUUGCCAGGAAUACAAUUAUAUACAGUAGCAGAAGCUGACGAACACAGUAGAGCAGAAGAUAGGAUGAUAAAGUCUUCAGCGUUUAUUUCUAACCGACCACUGGAUCAAAUGUUAAUCACAAAACAAUAUCAAACUCAAAUCAAUUCGAAAUCUAAAUAAGCGGCUCAGUCAAUUCACAGUUUCUAAUCCCUAGAUUCGAUAUCAUUCAAUUCUGAAGGAAGAAAAAUGAAAUGGCGAAUCUGAAUAUUGAAAUACAAUUAAUUUCGCUGAUGGAUAAUUUGUUAGAGACCGAAGCUCACCGAAAACAUUGGUAUUGAAGGCGUUCUGCAUAGCGGAAAGUUGAACCUCGGCAAUAGGUCCAAUACAUUGAACGCCAGCGUUGUUCACCAAAAUAUCGAUUCGACCGAAUUUUUCGAUGACAAGAGACGUUAAUCGCUCGACGCUUUGGUCGGACAGGACAUCGAGUUCUUGUAAGAAAAAUCUGGGAUCGUGCUCCAGGUCCGCCAUUGAGGAGCGGGACCUGCUGGUUGCGACUACCAAACAGCCCUGGUCGGCGAAGGCUCGGGCGAGAGAGUGGCCUAUGCCUCCGUCGGAACAGCCGGAGAUGACAACUACUUCUUUUCCGGCAAAUUCCAUAUCCUUUUUAUCUUCUUGAAAAGUGAACGAACCCCGCCCUCCUCCAAAUUAAACCGAUUGAUAAAUCGGAGAUUGAAGUGUUGGGUAGCUCCAAGUACAUCAAUAAGAGCAAUUGCUCACUCGUCUGCACCUAGGCCCUGAAGACUUCCACAUGGCCGGUCUUUGUGGUGCCACUUGGCAACCCCACAUGGACGCUUUCCCUUUUUUCCCUCCUUCAUUUACGGUUAUUGUAUUUCUUGGGUGAUUUUAAAAAAAAAUUGGGAUUUUGGUUUUAAAUUUAUACAUAUAUAUAUGCUCAAUCUCUUCUCUCAUUUAUACAACACUCUUUAUUUUUAAUUAAUCAAUUAAAAAGUAAUAUUUUUAAAAAAUUGAAAUUAUUCUUACCAUGUUUUUUUAUUUAUGUUGCUAAUUCAUUUUCGUUAACUUGUGUUAAAUUGUUUAUGAAUUGUUGAUAUAAGUGGUUGAAGUUUCUACGAGUUACGUGCUGGUUUAUAGGAGUUGAAUGAGUGAGCAUAUGUGAGUUUUGAUUUGAAAGUAUCUGUUGAUAUAUAAAAUCCUAAUAAAUUUUAAACCUUUACUAAAAGUAAAAAUUAGAUUCCUUUGUUGAAGUCCAUCGAUAAUAGACUAUUUUAGUGAGGAGUAUCUAUAAGUAGUAGAUAUGGUAGAAGUCUUUUGGUAACAAAGUUUAACACUUGAUUUUAUUUAAAUUGCAAUUUUGGUUUCUUAAAUUCAAACCAUAGUUGGCAUUGGCUCACCGUUGGAAGGACGAGUAAAUGUUUAACUACAACAUUUAUUGCAUCCUUUUAUUUUAUUUUUCAGUAUCCAUUGUUUGUUUUAUUUGUAAAUUGUGAAUAAAACUAUGGCAAGAGGUAAUUGAAAUGAAACCAUAGCAAAUUUUAUAGAAUUAAAAGCCGUGGCACAAUGCAUGCAUUCAUUUAUCUAAAUAAUUCAAUUACAUGAGUACAAAAAAUAAUACAUUUUUUAAACGUAAAUGUUGAUAGAUUUUCAUUAGUGGAUAGAUUCUCAUGUCACAUCAUACUCUAUAUCGUUCAUAUCAAUAAUAUAAAUUUUUCGUUGAUAGAUUUUGUUAUAUUUUCUAUUUUUUAAAAAUAUUAUUAUACAAUUGUAUACCAUCUCUAAUAUUAUUAUGCCCUCGAUCAUAUCAAUCACUUUUAUAGAUUAAAUAAGUAUACAUCAUUAUAAUAGAAAUAAAAGUUCACUUUGUAUAAAAUUGUUUUAAAUUUCAUAAUACUAUGCAUAGUUUAUAUAUAGUUUAGAGAAUGUGUUCAUGAUACAUUCACAAAUAUUUAAUUGAAAAGAAUGUUAUUAAAAAAUAUAUAAUAUUUGACAAACACUCAAAAUUAGUCUUAAAACAACAUAAUCCAAACAUAACCUAAAUGGUUUUACUAAUUGAUAAUUUGUUUGCAUUUACUUGCUCAAGAAGGCCAUAAGUUUAGAAAUCAUCCCUAGGAACAAAAAAACGAAAAGUUAGAAAUUAUCCAAAGAACUAUUUUCCAUAUUGUUUGUUGGUUCUCAAAAAAAUAUUGAUUAGGUUAUUACAUUUUGGGACAGCAUACAUCUAAACUGACAAACUAAAUUUAGUAGUUUAUUAGUCAAUAAUUGAGUAAUAUAUCAUUAUUGACCACAACAAAUAAUGGCCUACCUCUUCAAAACAAUACUUCAAAUACAAAGUUUCCCCGACAAACAAUUACAUCGAAAAUUACAUCGAACAAAUCCAUAUUUAAUCUCCAUUUUUUUCAAGACUUUAGGAAAUGACAAUGCUAUUCCCCCCAUAAAUUGACCUAUAUAGAUAUAGAUAGAUAGUAUUUAAUUCUAAACCCUCUUAUUUCUAUCUAAACACUGGUACCAACAAGAAGAUGCUGUCUCCUUAUUUCGAGAAAAAAAAAAAGAUAUUGUCGAUAUUGUCUAAAGUCUUCCCUAAACGUGAAUUGAAGAUAAAAAGACGAAAUUUAUCACUAUAAUUGAAGGGAAAUUAAUUUAGUUUCUAUUGUUUCAUAAGUUUAGAUUUAGUCUCUUUUAAGUGCAGAAAGUCUAAGAGAAAUCCUUAUAAUUGAAUGAAGCUAUCACAAAUAAUCCUUGUUAUUGAGACUAAAUUAUAGUUUUCUUAAGUUAAAGUGACCAGUUUUACAAUUUAGAAUAGGAUUAGAAUGUUGGAUCUCAUUACACCAUGGUUGUACUAAAAAAUUACAACUUUGUUUUCAAGAUAUAGGGACAAAUUCUACAAUUGAAUGCAUAAUUACUACGAAUUAAUUAACCAGUUCUCCCAUGUUCAGAAGUAUCAGAAUCAUUUUUUGACUUGUUAACGUGUUUUAAUGAACUAGAACUAUAUUUCAACAACGCUCCAAAAUUCACACCAAAAAUGGAGACGAAGAGAGAAAGAAGAAGAUAUAACCCAUAAUUUGUACCUUCCUUAGUUUGAUUUCUAGCCAGAUCACAUCACCGAAGGAAGUUCAAAAAUUUACACAAGACGUAGAAAAAGAAAAGAAAAGAAAAAAAGCACUAAAAGCUUCGACUCUGGCAUGAAAUUUCUAUUGAGAAAGUAAAAGCCAGAGGAGGCCUGUUUUCAGGAAUUAGAGGUGGCCUGAAGCCCAAAUAGGGUACCCGGAUGGACUUUUUUACUGGAUUUUCCGGCAAUUCCGCCGGCGGCGUGAUGGGAAGUUUUUGGAGGUUUGACGGAAUCUUCUCUCCUGCCAGAUCUCUCCUGCUCCAUCCUCUGCAGUUUUUCCUCUGCUUUCUUUUUCAUUACAUAAACCCUAGCGCAGCUAGCUCCCAUGGAGGACAUGGUUUAUACAGAAGAAAAGGAAAUGAAAUGAAGAAAUUUCUACAAAUGUUUCAGUGGGCUUUUAAUUUGUUCAAUCGGUGGGUAUUGAAUGGCUUAAACCCUUGUUGUAUUUAUAGUGGAAAACGUGUUUGGUGGCCUUGGUGUUUCGUUGGCCCCUAGCGUAGGGGUCAGAUAACCAUAACCCCCAUUUUCUGUACCUUAUUUGGAUUGGACAAUUUCUUUUUAUUUCAAUCAAAUUUAAAUUAAAUUAAAUUUGCAUUUUUGUUAUUUAUACAAUUUUGCGUUUAACUUAAUCAAUGUAUUGUUCAAAAGUUGAGAUCUGCAAAUUCAUUGUUUCUUCCAUUCUAAUUUACAAAGGAUAAGUUUUGUUUUUAAUUUGAUCUGAUUUUUAGUUUAAUUUUAUAGUUUUUAUUUAAUUUUCUACAAUUUAAGCUUCUUUCAAAAUGCUAGCGUAGUUUUAAUUUGAUAUGGUUUGUUUCUUUAUUAAACUUAUAUCACUUCAUUACUUAAAUAGAUAUGUCAUGUUGCAAUCAUGUGCAUAGUUUGUGAAGUAAAAGUCAUGUGAACUUGGUUAAAUUUGUUAUGAACUCAACUUAAAAUUAAACUUUUUUAUUUAUUUGUUUUGACUCCAAUAAUACACUUGCAUAGUUGAGAUGUGUUUAGAUGUGUUUUACUGUUCAACUGUAGUUAGAAGUUUGUAUCUAAAUUUAUACUACAAGACAAAAGAUUAAUAAAGCAAUUGAGAACACAAAUGGAUAAGCAGUUGACUUAAUACAACUCUAAUUAACCAUUACAAGAUCUAAAUUCUCCUAAUUUAAAUGAUACAAGCAUAACAUUGUAUAAAUUUAAAUCUACAACUAAUUUGAAUCUUUCCAUUUACAUUAUGAAAAACACACUAUAUAAAAACUACAAUCUUUCCAUUUACAUUAUGAAAAACACACUAUAUAAAAACUACAACAGUAUAAUUAAUGUUUGAAUUCAUAAACGAAUCGGUUUAUAAUUUUAAUUAGAGUUUCCUUUUAGAAUCGUCAAUAUCUACUUUAAUCAUCUUCAAACUAAUGGAUCGAUGAUUUUCAAAUGUAAUCAUACAUAGAUCAAUUAUCUUUUUAAAAAAAUCUACAAAGUUUGAUACAGUAAUAAAAAAGUUAAUUAUUAGUUUAUGAUUUCACUAAAUUCAAUGUUCAAUUUUGUUUAGUAUGAUACUUGAUAAAAGAUUAUUGUCUUUAUGGAAAAAGAUCACAUGAAUUAUGAUUAAUUAAAUGAAGCUGAAUUUCAAAUUAACCAAUUAAUUAAUCACAACAAUACAAAUGAAUUUACACUAAAUUUUAAAGAGGUAUUUAAAAAUGGGAAGAAAAAAGAGAGAGAGAGAGAGAAAAGAAUUGAGUAAUAGACGCUCAAUAAUGGAAUAUUUAAUUGGAAUCACCAAGAUGGAGAAAACGGUUGAAAGACAACUAACACCGUUUACCGGGAUGGUUUUUAAAAACACAAAGUACACAGAAACGAAUAAAACGGUGGGAAACCCCAAGCUCUGAGGAAAAUAAAAAAAGAAACAAUGGCUUGUAUUAGAUGCGGCACUCACACCACUCCAACUGUGAGGUCGCCCCACGUCAGCUAAAGAUAUUAUAGAUGGAGGCGGCCAAAGGUUCUGCUUACGUGUCUGUUGAUUAUUCGCCCGAAAUUUCCAACAUAACAAAAAAGUGCUCUUCUUUUUUCUUAAUAUAUAUUUUUUUAAAAUUAUGGAAAUUAAAUGUUGGAGAGAUAAGAGUUUGAUUGAGGUCACAAUCUGAGUCGUGGACCGUGAAGGCACCUUUUUUCUUUCUUUUUCUCUCUUUCUUUAUUUACUUUGAAUUAUUUCAUUUGUCAUUAUUACCUUGCACUUACAAAAGUACCUAAGUCUAUUUCUUCAUUAUGCACCCACUCAAAUGCGUUGUGCCGACGGGCUAAUUAACAUCACCAUUCUAGAUAUAUCAUCAAAGAUUUUCUUUAUUAUUCAAAUUCAACAUUAUCCAAGUACUGAACUUUUUCCCCCAUUUGACGUUAGAUACUGUGGGUACAAUUUGAUGUUAAAUCCCACUAUAAUAUUUCAAUUCACCAUUUGUUCAAGUGCUGAUUUUUAUAGGAGUUAGAAGGUUAUAUGGUUGAGUUAUGAAUGGAAGGAGGAGAAAGAUUAUAAUAUGAUAAUGAUUCACAAUUAUAAAGGGGAAAGUCAAAUUAAAGUAAAGAUUGAAUGGUAAUGACGAAAAUAAUAUAAUUUAAUAAUUGAAAAAAAGAAUUAAUUUAAGAAUGAAAAGGAAUUGGCAUUAUGUGAAGAUACUGAAUGAAAUGGAAGGGAUGGAUGAUGAAGGGUACGGUGGUUACGGAGUACGGAAAUUCCAUUAAGGUGAGAAGAAUCGGAGAUUGAGAUUAGGUUGUCUGCCUUUUUCUACUGUUUCGUAUCGUUUUUUGCUUUGAUGUUUGUCCUCACUUUUUAAUUCCUUUUUCUUUUUUAAUUCUUUUUUGGAAGAAAAUUCCUAAAGGUUAGGUUUAAAAAAGGUUAUCUCUUACGUCCCACUAAAACCGUCUUCGGCCGAAAGGCCCAUUGGUUUUUGUCUUUCUCGCUUGGGCCGCACCCAUUUUUCCACUUCUGACACCAAACUCUCUAAACAAAUACAGAACAAUUUUGGUGAUAAAAGUGUUUAACAUAAAUAUAAUAUGUUCGACAAAUUUUGUUAUAUUUUUAUUUUUAAAAAUGUUUUUAUAUAUGUUAAUGCUUUAACAAAAUUUGUAAAAUAAUAAUAAAAAUAUUUUCUCGAGAAAAUAAUAAAUAACAUUUUUUUAAAAGAUAAAUCAACAAAAACAAUAAGAGUAAUUUAGAUGCAUUGAAAGUGCACAAACAAUUUUGUGUAUGUCAUUAACUAAUUACUUCCUUUUGGUAGAAGAAGGACAUUUCUGUAUGUAGUUUUGGAUGCUUGGUACGCACAGGCAUACAUUUCGUUCUUCAACUCCAAAUGAUUUCGUAUAUGAAUCGUGUCUUUUAAACUAAGAGUAUAUGUGUUGUUUAUCUAAAUAGUUGAAGGUUGCUAAUGACAUUCUUCUUCCCUUCCUCAAGCAUGUAUCCUACUAAUUAAGACUUGCCAUACAUAUGUUCAUGCCUUUACAUUAGUAAAGGUCUAGGUUCCUUUCCCUGGUGAAAGACUUGAGGAAUUUUUUUUGAAAUGAUUGAUUCUCAGGUAAAGUGACAUCUAUUUUAUCUAUGUAUAUUAUCGAUUUGAAAAAUUACAAUGAUGGCCUUUCAACAAUACAAGUUAAAAUUACACACCUAAAACUUUAAACUUAAUUCAUCAUCCUCUCAAACUUACAAAGGUUAGUUGUUCGUGAUAACUAUUAAAAACAAAAAUGGGCCAUGCGUGUGUUAAUAAAAUGUUAGGCAUGAUAGUUGAUUUCAUAACAACAUAUAGUUAGUAAUGAAUGAACAAUGAAAAAAAUUGUUGUGUGUGACAGAAAACAAUUGUGAUUUUCGUAGUCUUAUUUCUUCAAUACUUUAUCAAGAAAAUGCCAAGACACGCGUGGUAACAGUUGCCAUUAAUUACCAACAUAAUAUCAAAUUGAAUUCCACCAAAGUUGUUCAAAAGUCAAAAAUUCCACAUUUUGAUUAAAUCCAUUGUUUCCGUACCCAUUUCUAAUAAUUUCGAAAGUUUAAUACGAAAGAAAUAAAUUAAUAUCAUAUUCUAUUAUCUUUUUCAAAUCUUCAAACAUUGACAUCAACAAUUUAAACCGUUCAUCCGAUUAGACAAAAAGAAGGAAUAUAAAGUGAAAUUUUGCGAUGGAGAGAUUUUGUUCGUUUGGGCGGGAGGGUUUGGAGUUAUUAUUGAUGGAAAGGGUAAUUUGAGUAAAAUUGUAAAGUUGUGGCGGGACGGAAAGAGAUGGGCUGACGUGUUGGUUGUGGACUUCGGAAUGGGUCCAAUGGAUCCAGUCUCCUUCAACUUUGUCGGCCCACAAUACUCUUAACAAUAAUAAUAAUAAUAAUAAUUUAUAUUAUUUGAUUAGAGCAGCCGUACGUCCACAGUAAAAUUAGGGUUGUUUUGUUGCUGUUUAUUAAUUCCAUCCAAUUUUACGUCUCUUUCUAAAACUUCAAUUAACACUCACUAAUUAUGUCAAUUUUAUAAUUGAUUUACUAAAACAUGAGAGAUUUCAAUGUUGAAUCAAUUAAGACUAAUUGUACUGAGAUUUGAAAGGUGACAUUAAUUAUCUAUCUGUUCUUUCCAUCUUGUAAAUGGUAAAUAUGAAAAUAAAGAAUUUAGUGGAAACAAACUUCUAUUUCACACACAUAUAUAUUUGGUAACAAAUUAAAAAAUCGAAUUAUAAUAUAAACAAGAUGUAUCGUAAAAAAUAACAAAGCGACCAAAUUGUACAAAAUCAAGUGUAGUAAGUUUUUGUCGUUUCCUUGUGCUAUGGAUUGUGAAUAGUUUAUUUAUUUUGUAAUCAUUUAAAUAAUGGUGUUUAGAUGCAUUUAUACUAUAUUUAUAAAUAAAUAAAUAAGUUAUAAUUGUGAGAAUUGUCAAAAAUAGCAAAUUUGACAAAAUAUUUACAACAUAUAACAAAAUUUCAAAUUCUACUAAUAAUAAACAUUAAUAGACACUGAUAUGAUUCUAUUAGUGAUAUUGAUAAACAAUUAUAUAAAUUUUUAUCUUGGAUAUAAUCCAAAAUUUUGCUAUAUCUUAUUAAUAUUUUGAUAUUUAAAAAAGUGACUGUCAUAGUUACUCAAUAAAUAUUGAUAUUUAUAAAUAAUAAUGUAUUAUUAAUUUAUUUACCAGCCACGUUAAGUAAUUUUUGUAAUAUCAUAUAAUUUAUAAUACAUGGUAUUUAUAUUUUAAUUGAAAAGAAUAUAUAUUGAGUUUAUAAAGUUCAAAAUUUAAAAUCAUGAUAGAACAAAAUUAUUAUUUGUAGAAACAAAUAUCAACAAAAUGUCAAUAAUUUAAAGAUUAAUGGGGGGUGGUGGUGGUGGUCUGGUUUUGGUAUAUUGUUUAGAAAAAGCCAUUUAUGGGGAAAAUUAAUUGUUAGAAAACAUGGGCUUAUUAGGAAAUAUUUCAACUCUCUUUCUUCCUUCUCAUUUCCCUUAUAUGUAGAGAUGCUUUUUUAUUACACCAACUUUGUGUAUUUGGAUAUAUUUGUUAAUGUAUUAAUUAUUCCAAUCAUUAACAGACAAGUUAAUAGAUAUAUAAAACCAUUCUUGUAUAUAAUAAAAAUGGCUAUAGAGUUUGAAGCAGCCUGAAAAACAUCUCAAGUUUGUAGAAAUUAAAAAAAAGAAAGAAGAAUAAAAACGAUAUUCAUAAUUUCAUAUUAAGAAAAGAUAAUUAAGUAUGGAUGGUCUAUGAGUUGGCCAAUCCAACAAGAGAUAAAUAAAUAAACAAAGGAGAGGCAAAGGGAUUGAUUUUCUUGGAAAUUGGGUAAGUUCAAAACCAACUCAUUCUUUUCCCCAAUCAAUUAUUAUUUAACGUCCCAAUUUCCAAGUUGAUCCAAACUCAAAACACAAAACCAUUAUCAUAUUUAUUAUUUUUGUUCUAAAGUUUAGAGUGUGUGUGUGUGUGACAGUAUAUGAACUGUAUAUUCAUAUCUUCAAAUUUGUAUUCAUAUAUGUUUUAUUUGUGCAGUUUUUUGCUUUCUUUAAUUUGUCAAUUUCACGACACCUUUAGGUUAAGAAAUCAAUGCGUCACACAAACCAAACUAAAAGAAAAGAAAAGAAAAAACUUAUCUUUGAAACAGUCAAAAUAGAAGAUUGAAAUUAUAACAAUAUAGUUUGAUUUAAUUGUCCACUUGAAUGAGAUUAAUUAAGACAUCAUAUUGCAUCCUCAUCUACGUCAACCAAUUAAAGCCCACGUCUUAAAUCGACUAAGAACAUUAAUGAAUUUAAACCAUGAUUAUUGUUUGGAAGAAAACUUCUUAGAAAUUUUUGUAUUGAUAUCUUUUGGAAAGUUAAACACAUAUUGGAAUCUUGUUUUAAUUAUUGUAUAGGAUGAUGUUCAACUUAGGUAUGAACUUUAUCUAAUGUAGUUUAAAGAAUAUGAAAUCCAUAUUUUAAUCAAAUGUGUGUGUGAUCUUAUCCAUAUUUAUAUAAAUAAAAUAAAUGGUCAACUAUAUUGAUCAUUUUUUUUUAAAUUACACAAAUUAAUAAAUAGUUGCAAACAUUGAAACACAUAUCGAAACGUUUUGUAAAUUUAAGAUAUUCUUUAGUAUAAAUCAUACCAUAUAAUGAGAUCGACGUUAUUUAUAAUUUCUUUCAGAUAUAUAUCUAAGAUUACUGUUACAUGUACUUCCAAAAGGAAAAAAAUAAACAACCGUAUUAAUAUUUUGAUAAACUAUUAUAUUGUCUUAACUAGUAGAAAACCAAAAAAAUUUAAUGAGUAUGUAAAAGUAAGAGGUCUAUUGAUCGUAGCAUAUAUGGUUUAUCGUUAAGUUUUAAUUACAAAGUUUGAUAUAAUUUCUUAUAUUAGUUUUUCUACCAAAAAAGAUAGAGAAUUGAUGAACUCAAAGGCUUUGCAGAGUAAUUGGAACGAAAUUAGAGGUUGGAAUUUAAGUAUGACAUCAAAAUGAAUACAUUAAAACCCAUUUUGAGCUUAUAAUCAAUUAAUCUAUGUUCAUAUAUAUAUAUAUACAGAGAGAGAGAGAGAGAGAGAGGAGAGGAGAGAAAGAGUAUGAUAUUUUGGUAUAUAUGAAAGUAACACAUAAUCAAUAAUUGAAUGUAAAAUAAAAUAAUAAAAGUAUGAUUAGGGAAAGAAAAUAAUAAUAUAAACGUUGGGUGGGGGUGGGGUAUCCUAAAACGGGGUUUGAGGAAUUCCACGUGUACCGAAGUGAGGUUGGUUGUAUAGAAAUUCUAUAAAUCCCGGAGUUUGAACAUUUUUGUAACUAAAGAAAAGGAAAAGGAAAAUGAAAGAAUUGAAAGGAAAAGAGAGAAUAUAGUGUAGGAUGAAAUUUUCACAAAGCUUAUAAAAUUAAAAAGAAUUGAAUUAUUGGGUAUCUAUCUCUGCCUCCUCCUUCUCCUUCUCCUUCCCCUUCCCCUUCCCCUUCCCCCCAUCUCUAUCCGGACGAAGCUAUGGGAGCUCUCUCCGAGUUCUUCUCCCACCUCCACACAAUGACCGCAGUCUUCUUCACCCUCUUACUUCUCGAAUUCGUUAUUCUCAUUCGUACCAUCUUCGGCUUAAGACCUAACUCCGACAAGCGCGUAAUCACGACCGCUCAGUUUUUCAAACUCAUCGAAGACAAGAAUCCCACCAUCCGUUUCUCAAAUAAGGUCACCCCAAGUAUCGCCGAUCAGUGUGCCGUUUGCCUCUCUGAAUUCGAGGAAGGAGAGAAGGUACGGAAAUUGCAAUGCAACCACACUUUUCACAAGGAUUGUCUCGAUAAUUGGUUGAAACUCUGUUUCGCUACCUGUCCGCUUUGCCGGAGUAAGGUUUUGCCGGACGAUAUCGUCGCCGGCUACCAUAGGCUUCGAGACCGUGUAGAGUACGACGGCAGUGACGAGGAGCUCAUCUUUUUGUUAUCGGCAUUACAUGGUAACAGUAUAUAUAGAUUUUUCUAGGGCGAAACACCAAUUUUAUUUUGUUUUUAAUCACAGAAUAGAAUUAAACAACAUAGAAUGUUGAUUUUCUGUAGAUUAACUAGGGAAAUAUUGUUUUUCUCCCCUUCAUUGACGAGCAAUAACGUUAAGGGAACAGCUCGUUUCUGGUUCGAUCGAUCUCUCUAGCUAGAUCGAGAUAAAUCUAAAUCGUGUAUGUUUCUCUUUACUUGCAAUUACGCAACCCAACUGUUAGAUGUGUUGUUUGCAUGAUUGCUUCCUACUCUUCUUGGUCAUUCGUCAACGAAUCAUUAAUUUUGGAGACACCCAAUUUACAUCUUGACGGAGACCCUUUUUUUUUUUUUAACCCAAUAACGCACUGAAAUCCUCACUAAAAUCAUCCAAAUCACAACAACUUUUUUCCAUCAGGUUAAACUAAUCCAAAUGAUCUAUUGAGAUCUUUAAGAUAUUGGAUGAUCGUCUAUUAGUCUCUCUUGAUGUGGGCUUGUUGUCUCCGUAGGACCAGGAGUUAUGGUGCGAACUUAAUUCUAUAAUUUUAGUGGAUGCGAGUUGGUGAUCUAAUUUAUGGUUCUCUUACAAUGUAAAUAGAACAUGGUAUGUGAUGGCAUUUAUUAAGAACAUUGAGUGAAAGGAGAAGCAUUCAAAAUUUGAUGGAUUCUCCCUUGAUAUUUUCAUGGGGAUUUAGGUGGAGAUGGUAGGAGAAGGACUUAAUGCUCUGUAUCUAAAUGCACAACAAACUGAUUGAGCUCAUUUUCUCUAUAGUUAAACCCCGAUGGCGAAAGUGAAAACUAAUGGAUUGUGUUUAGCUCACCAGCACAUUUAUCGAAGAAUAGGUUUGCACGUUAAUCGAAAAACUUCAUUUUACACCACUACAACCUAAAGACAAACUUACUAAACACAACAUAUUAACUCUAUACUUAAACAAACUUGAAAUGUUUCUCAUUGGGAUGAUCUGAAACUAAAGCCACAAGCCCCCCUCCCUUUUUUUUUAAUGUUUGGAUCUCGUUACUUCCUCGAAGCUUUUGAAACAGUUUGGAGUUUGUUUUCUUCCACUUUUGAACACCCACCAAAAGAUGAGGGCAACUGAGGACACGGUCUUUAAAGAACAGUGAUUAGGUGAGAUGAGUUGCAUUAUUGAAGUCAGUGUGUUUAACUUUUUAGCAUUACCAGAAUCAGGGGAUGGGUGAAAGAGGAGAAGAAGCAAAGCAAAAACAGGUUUUAGAUGAUGAAGCCAAAUACCUAUUUACUGUUGGUGAGAAUAAGUUUGUCCUAAAUGGGGUUGUGGGAGCUACAGUAGUUCGCAUGAUGUACUGAAUUGUUCUGUAUGUCGGACAAUAGCAAUAAGUUGAAAUGUUAAACAGGCAAAAUCUCGUGGUGGAGCAGCGGAGGGUAAUUCAUAAGAUUUGACAUUUAAUGUCAGAUUCAAAAAAGUGGAUGAACAACUUCAAUAGUAAAGUAAUAGUACCACAAACCAGAAGUAACGCAUAUGGGGGAGAUGAAUCCUUAUCUAUUUUGGAAAUGGGGUUUGUUGUUGGUUUGAUUCAUUCCUUUUUCAAUUUUUCAGGGUUGAAUUUUAUUUGGUGCAUAUCCGUUUCCCUUUUUAACCAUGGAAUAUAUUGCUGAAAAUAAAAAAUAUGACUCUGUUUAGGUCAUGAGUUGGUAAGAAAUUAAGAUGCAACAGAUUCGUUUGGGUAAGAGUAAUAUUUGAUUGAAGAUGUGCGCCCAUUUCUAUGUAUCUCUUUCAAUUACAAAACAAAGAAUGAUUCAAACAAAAUUAAAACAACAUGGGGUAUCCUAAGCAACACAUAUAUAUUCAUCUAAGUGUCCAAUCAUGGAAUAUGCUACGUAUUGUUGUUAUUCCUUUCUUCAAUCGUGGAAUACAUCGUGAAAAUGUUAAAGUGAGCCCUGUCUGUUUAGGUCAUCGGUCAUGAGUUUGGUUAGUAAAGUGCAAUUGAUCUCGUUGAAAAAGAGUAAUGUUAGGGUCAAGUGUUGCAUCUAGUUGUGUAGUUCCUUCAAUUGAUCCAUCAAAAGUUGUCAUGUAAUAAAGUUUCUUUAUUUUUGCUUAAAAAAUUAUUUUAAGCCUCUUUUUGUUUGUGAUGGAAGAAAACAAGUAUAUGUAUACAUACAUUUAUACACGAUAAACUUGUAAUUAAACAUUUGAAAUGCGUCUCACCUGGUGAGUUGAGUUUGAAUUGUGAAGAAAGAAAUAAUUUAAUGAAUUGAUUGAAAGCUACAUUAUAUAUAGGUUGGUUUAUUGAAGUCAUUAAAUAUACAUUAUACAAAGAAGUAAUCUUUUAAAAACACAUGGCCACCACCAACUCCUAUCUGUAAGUUUGGUUCAGGGCUCAAAAUUAGAGACAUUCAGGAUGAUCAACAUCAUCUCUCUCAAUAAAUACAAAUGAUUAUAAGUCGAUUAAAUCUUUCUUUCUACAAUAAGAUAGUUAAAUAAAUGAAUUAAAACUAAUCAUUAUUUUUGCACAUCAAAUCAACCACUAUCACAUUAAAUAAUCAAUAAAUUUGAAGGAAAAAAAAGUCUUAAUCAAUAAAUUUGAAGGAAAAAAAAGUCUUAAUCAAUAAAUUUGAAGGAAAAACAAAGUCUUCGUCAACUUUUAUAAUUGUAAUUUGUGUGGGAGUAUGUAUUUAUAAUAUUUGUCUAAAUAAAAUAACUAUUAAAUUAGCAAGGGUGUUUGAGAUUUAUAGUUGCGUAUUGAUUUUAGAAAAACAAAUUUAAGUACAAUUUUUCUUUUAUAAAAUUGAUAUGAAACUUGUAAACAAAAUUUUUAUAUAUUUAGAAAUGAUUUUGAAUCAUUAUUGUUUAGAUUUUGAAUCAUUAUUGUUAUUAUAUUUUUUGAUUUGAGAAAUAGUUAUGUUAGUAUAUAAUUGUUUGUUUUAUAAAUAAUUUAAUGAUGUACAUUCUUUUAUUCCAAUAUUUUAUAAAAAGAAAACUGAAUUAGACAUCCAUUUUGGGAGUGGUUGAUUGAAAAUCACCCAACAAAAAUUACCAAUAACCUAAUUCGUUUUUUAAACGAUUUUAUAUUUAUUUUAGUUCAUGUCAAACAAGAAAAAGUGAUUUUGGACAAACACAAAAAAGUAUAUAUCUAAAUAUGGUGAUAUGGAUAGUUAUUAUGGCAACCAUGGAUAGAACUUGGAAUCAACUACAACUACAACUUUGGAAACAAAACCAAACCAAAACAAAAUUCAUAAUUCAUUAGAUGAACUUCUUAGUAAAUUAUUUUUAUAUACAUCCGUAUAUAUCCCCAUUAGAUGAUCAAAUUUACACUUUAUAUGAGAUUUAAUGUAGAAAUAGACUUUGGAUGUUCAAAACCUAACUUUUAACAGCUUGGACUUGAAAACAAUGAAUUUGAAAAGUACUUUAAAAAGUAACUUUUCCUUCUUACAAAAAAACCAAACCUAAAUUGACGAAAUUUUGAAUAAAUUAAACCAAAAUGGCCUCUCAGAUAAGACACAAAUGUGUCACCAUAACAACCUUUACCAUCAUUUGAUUUACACUCUUAAUUUCACUUUCACUUUCUUUGAAUGCCACCAAAAUUUCAUAACUAUAUAUCAAUUACAUAAAGAGAUAUCACGACCAUAAUUAUAAUUACGAGUUGAAAAGCUCACAAGGUAAUUUAUUUAAAAUUUUGUCUACGAUUUAAUAUCAAAUAUAAAUAUCAAAUUAUUAUUGAUACCAUCUUAGAUGGUGGAUUGAUCCCAAAUCAUAACUAUGAACAACUAAAUUCAUUGAUUUUUCAAUAUGGGAUCUGAACAGCCUCAUCCAUCCACCAUAUCACAUAUUUAAAAGCACCAACUAAGUGGCCAACUCUCGAUGAUUUCUUGAAAACCAAAUCAUCCAUCUUUUCCCAACAUUCAUAUGGUUAAUUCAAACCCUAUAAUAAUCAUCAAAUCAUAAUACAAUCCCACCCUUCUUCUCUCGAAUUCAAAAGCAUUUCAAAACUAAUAGAAUCCAAAAAAGGAAAAAAGAAAAAAAAAAUGUACAGAUUUGAGAGAGAGAGAGAGAGAGACGAGAAACAUUUACAAUAUAUAUAUAUAUAUAUAAACCCAAUAGAGGAACUCAAGCUGAGAAGAACCCAGUGGAAGCAGCUCGACCAAUUUGAGAUUUGGGUUCAAAAACCCAAUUGAAUUCCGACAUCUCAGCAGAGUAAUUAUGCUUUUUUGCCAUUUCCAUCAUCUUCUUCAUCCUAAUUGAAGUAGCAGUUGCAGAUAUGGAAACCCCAGAAGAACCCAACUCUUGAAGCUCUUGCCUGAUCAUCUCUUGACCUCGCCUUGGAUUCUUCGUCCUCCUCUCGUAUUCCUCUGCUACAAGAAUUGCAAUAUCCGCCAUGGCUGUGAUUUUUCAACUCUCCCUCUUAGUUGAUUUUGAGGAGACCCCUUUAGGAGGAUGACAUAAUUUAUAUUCAGAUUGAGGUAUGAUUGUGGAUAAGGCUGACAAGUCGGUGUAGUGUAUAAAAGAAAUAAAAAAAAGUGACCUUUGAUGACUUAGUCUGGUUUUUUGGGCAUUUUGGUUUUACUUUUUCUAUGGGUGGACCCUUUGUGGAGAAAUUUGAUUGUAUUAUAUUGUAUAUCUAUAAAAUAUACACAUGUAUAUUGUAUUUCAUUGAAGGGUCUUCUUUGAUUGUGCCAAUACCCAAAUAAAGGGGUUUCUUGGCAACAAAGUUGGGAUAGUUGUGUGAAUUAUAAUAGAAUAUAUCAGUAUUUCAAAAUUCUAAUGGAACACGUAUUCUUAAUAAACUUAUAAAGAAUUUACAGAUUGUUAAAUGAUACAAGAAUUGUUAAUUGAGAACAAUGAGAUUAUGUAUAUUGUGAUAGAUAGGAUAGAAAACCUAUCCAUUAUAAUGGAUGUCUUGUGGUGUUUUCAAUGAAGUUGGUGGUGGAAAUUUUGUAGGCAAUAUUCUAGUGGGUUUGGUGGGGGGGAGGAAUGGUAAAAGGCAAUACCAAUAGUUCAGGACUUGUAAAUGAUAAAGAAAAAAAAAAAGAAACCAACUCCACAAUGUUAAUUAUCUCAAACUCUUUCUUAAUAAAUGUCUGUCCUAUUCAACCUUCUCCUUCAAACAAUGAAGAGAGGGUAACUCUUCUUUGCUUUUCAAUAAUAAUAAUAAAAAAAACAUAUCUUUCUUUUGAAGCAAACUAGCAAAAUUGUUGAAAAAAAUAUUGAUAAAUAUAGUCAAAUUUUAUAUAUUUCUUAGUGUAAAAAAUAUGGAAACGGAAAAGCAAAAGGAAAGUGGUUUUUGAGAAUCGGAAAACAGCGAAACUGAGCAAAUGGUUUUGAUCUCAAAAACCAAAACCAUCACCGACAAACGCAUAACACAUCAGAUUCAUGUAACUAAUACGUGUCUAAUUACUAUUUGUUCUUCAAAUUAAUUAUAUAUUUCGUAGUACACAAUACGUGGCAUCAUAUUACUGGUUGUGGGCGGUGACAAGUCCACAGUCCACGCAUUUUCUUUUGUUUACUCUUUUAAAUCAUUCAUGCAUCUUAUUAAUUAGCUUCUAAAUAAUUCAUAAUUUAACCAUAGUAAUCAUAAUAAUGUCAUAAAUUAUACACACAUUUCAAUAAAUUUUAUUAAUGUAAUCAAUUUCAGUGUUUGGCAAAUAAAUUUCACUCUUCCAAUAUAUACCUAUUAAUAAUGAAUUUGAUUGGAGUUUUUCUAGUGCAUUAUUCUAUCCUUGUGAUAUUUAGAAGCACAUAUUUUAUAAUUAGGUUAUUCUUAAUGGAAAGUAAACUAAUGUAGUCAUAGUUAGUACUUAGUAAUUAGGCUGCAACUUACCCACUUGUUUAUAAAUCGAUGGUAAUUUUAGUUAGUGUAUUUCAUUUUAUUACACUUUUUUUUAAUCUAUAUUUCGUAAUCCUAUGAAAAUAAUGAGUUCACCUUGAAUUGAAAAAUUGAGAGUACUCAAUUGGACUGCAUUUGAGAUUUAUGUGAAACUCACUUUCGUUAUUGUUACUAUCACGAUAUUAAUUAGAAUUAUGAUAAAUGUUAUAUUCUUAGUUAUUGUUAUUCGGUAACAAUAACUAGUGAUAAAUUAUGUAUAGCAAGAUUGUAACUAUAGAUGCGAUAACUCGUAAUUGAAACUCAUUUCAAUUGAUUCAUUAAUAAAAUUUCAUUUUUAAAAAAUAAUAAAACUUUUUUUAUUAUGGUUUGGUAAACAUAACUCUAAUGUUAUAACAACUUUCUUUACAUCUCGAUUACAAUAACCAAUUUAGGCGAACAUAUUCCAGUCAAAACUUGAUCUUUUUAUAAUAAAAAUCCUAAGGAAAGUCCACUUUUAAAAUGCUAAGAUGUGCUUAAUAUUUACAAAAGUGUCGUUUUAAAAGAAUUGAAUUAUCUAUCGACUCAUCAGCAAGAAUCUCAUACUUAUCACCAUCCAGUUCUUGACAAAUGGGAGAUAAGAAUGAGAAAUAUAUAUAUAUAUAUAUAUAUAUAUAUACCUGCAGGCCAAGGGAGGUUUAGUUAUUUUUAAAAAGAAUGAUAAAAAUGUGCCUAAGAAAGAGGAAGACGGAAGUGAUAGUAGAAAACUCACAAAUAUAAUAUACUUUAUACUCAGUAAGAGAAACGUUAAAAGCAUAUUAAUUUGGAGACAUUUGUCAGUUUUGAUUGUAGGUAUUCAAAUUCGUUCCCAUUCCCUUUCCUCAAACGGAUAAGACGAAAGAAAGUAAGAAAGAUCACGAGCUUCAUCAAGCUAGCCAUUCUAAGAAUACAGAAGAAAAGGCUGAGGGUGUCACACAUCUGAGAGCAUAUGUAUAGGACUUUCUUGGUCCAAAGUAACUUGUAGUAAGUGCAACUGAGCAGCAAAAGCAUAUGGUGAGUUCAAGCUUCAACAGGUGCUCUUCUGGGCAAAGUGAAAAACUGACACAUUUCAUCUCAUAAAAGGCCAAGAGUUUUGAGCUGUUGAACGUGCUCUGCAGGAAGUGGUGGAGG
Molecule: long non-coding RNA, 59868 nt
Filed under: Cucumis sativus (cucumber)
Lineage: Eukaryota; Viridiplantae; Streptophyta; Magnoliopsida; Cucurbitales; Cucurbitaceae
Description: long non-coding RNA (CSAT_LNC002508)
Source: RNAcentral